UUUUUUUUUUUUUUUUUUUUUUUUUUGUAUUUGUGCAACACUUGUUGUUAUAUAAGGUAAGUAAACAGAGCACCCAGCUACCCACAAAAUCAUGUUAAUGCAACAAAAAAUGGUGACUGAAAUUUUAUGCAAAAGCAAAUUAAUGAAAGAGUUGCCAUAAUUGGCGACUCAAAUAUGGAAAAACAUAUAUUUCAUGAUUGCCGCAUUUAUGCCCAUUUAUCAUGGUCUAAAAUAUUCAAUUUUUUUCUUAGCAUUAAAGAUUUGGAGUUCUUUCUAAGGACAGUGGAGAAGAAUUUAUUAGAAAAAUCACAUGCAUAUGUAAAUUUAGUGCCCAUCAAUUAUGGUUCAAGAUCUUCAUUCUAUUUCAAGGCAACCAAAUUUAGAAUACCAUCGAAUGAAAAUGGAAAAAAAUCUAUUCAAAAAAUCAUUUGCCAGUUUUGAAUUCUAUACUGUCUCUCACUUCAUUCUUAAAGAUCAGAAUUUAGAUAAAAUGUUCACUGCGUGGUUGUAAAAUUACGUGACUUCCUCUACUGCAAUUUUGAGAUUUUGUAGUAUACUUUUGUUAGCAUUCUUCAUCACUGCCAAGAUCAUAAUGGAAUCCUGUAAAAAAAAAAAAAAAAGUUACAAACUUUUGACCAGAAAAUUGAAUGAAACGAACCCAAACUCAUUUUGUAUUUUUUUACGAUCAAAAUAAAGAUAAAUGGUGAACGAAUAGUAGAAUGCCACAAGAACUAUUCUAACAUCUCAUAUGUAAAAUACUAUCUUCAAAUCCAAAUGCCACCAUCUUGGAUUCACGUUCCAGACACAUGAUACAAAAUAAUUUGCAAAGAGAACAAAUUUAAGGGAUUCUGUAUAAUCUCUUUCUCUCAACUCUUUCUCUCGCUUCCAUUGUUGUGAUAAUUAUGCUUCAGGUUUAACAUUUAUCGUAACCAUCAAUUUUUUGUCAACAUUUCUACAGUGUCUAGAUCAAUCAACUGUACAUGUUGUGUCUAAACAUGGAGGAUUAUCCUUUGGAUAAUUAUUCCACUAUAUCACACAGUAAACUCUAAAACUACCUGCUACGAUCAAAUGGCUUACUUGAUCAUUAUGCACUUUUGAGUUUAUAAUUCAAAUAUUGAGUCAAUUUCAUUUUACCCACGAAAAAAUUUGUAGUGGAACUCGUUGAUAAAUGAGACUCAAUUUAGACAAUAAAAAUAGAUUUUGAACAAUUUCAAGAACAUUAUAGAAACAUGUUUGAGAGCAUUUAUGAUGAGGACUACUCGUAUUAUUAAGUAACUUAUAUGGAAUGCAUGCACUUGUGACUAUAGGAUCUCUUAAAAUUCCCUUCAAUCGAGUGUGACCAAAGAUUCUUAAUAAGCAUUUUCUUUGUGUCAAAGAUUUGUAGAAUCCAAUAAAAUUGUAAACAUGGGGUCAUUGUACAUGUUCAGAACGUCCAUGAAAAAUCAAUAAUGUGUUCUUCUUAGGGAUGACUCCUUCAUUUUGUACUCAUGUUUUUCAAUUAACAACGCAUGAGAACCAAAAUCACCGCAAAAAAGAUGUCACAAUUGUAUUAAAAAAAAUGUCCUUCUUUCAAUGAUGGUAGGUUUUGAAUUCUAAUGAUAAAAUAGGUAUUUUCAUAUUAAAUUGAUCUUUAUACACCCCCAAAACAAGUUUCUAGGAUCCUGUACACUUGUUACACUAUACACUUUCACACACUUCCUUACAAUGAUAUUGUGGAGAAUUUGUUAUCGGCUCAAACUAGUUAAACAUUUAGCUUAUCAAGUUAUUUUUUGAAAUGGUAUUUGUCUUAAUGUGGUACAUUUAUUUUGUUCUUUCUACGAUUUUGAUGAUCAAAAUAUCGACGGCCGUAUUAUGUGUAACAAAAUGAAUCUUCAACAAGUACUAAAAAAUAAACAUCCAUAAUUAAAGGUUUACAAUUUUAGUUAUCUUGAAAAUGAAAAUAACAUUUAUGGAGGCAUGAUCUAUGUAAAUCGAAACUGAGAACAACAGACGUAGCAUAAUAAAAGAUUUUGUAAUUGGUGCAAUGGAAAAAAAAAACAUAUUGGUACUAAAUUAUUUUUGUUGCACUUCAUGUGAUGAGCAGUAUGCAUCUAACUUGGUUUCCAAAUUCAAAGUCAUUUUAAGAUCACAUACCUUGUUUGUUACGUAAAUGGGCUAGAAAGCUAACUAUAUACAUCAAGCUGCAUAGGAAAAAUAGGAAAAACAGAAAAAGGAGUAAGACAAAGAGAAAUUAUACUUUCAUGGCUACAGUUAAUUAAUUCAAUGACAAGAAAACUAGAAUUCACCUCCUUUUUCAGUUAGGCAUUUUAAAUGGACAAUAUUUGCAAAUGUAGUAGCAUUGUCUCUUCUUCAGUAAGUACCCCAUGACAUUUUGAUCCCUUAUCAUUUCUUUCAAUAUAAUCCUCUAUAUGAAAUUUCUCAUUUUCUGCUCUAAAAGCGUCAUUCUCCUCUCUUUCCUUUUGAAACUAGGAAAAAAAAACUAGUAUUGAAUCAUCAUAAUGCAAAGUAUAUACAACCCAAGAAAACCCUUAAAAGUACACGCAAUUUUUAUUCUUUAAGAAAAAUAGUAUACCUUAUUUUGGUUUCUUUUAUUUUGAAACAAAAACUCUAUUUGGCUGGAUGAAAGCCCAAGGUUUGUCCCCAGUUACUGGUGUUCGUAUCAAAGCCAUACACCUUCAAAAUGAAAAUAAUAACAUAGAGAUGGCAAAAGUUAAACCAACAAGAAAAGAAUUAGCCAAAAGUUUCGGAUCAUAUCACUGAGAGAAUGAAAAAAGGUUAGUUUUCCUAUAAAACAAGUCAUUAAAGAAAAAGAUAUUACAGAAUGCAGUAAGCAUAUGAUUCAUCUUCUGAACGUGAGGGAAAAUACUAAACUUACACUUCAAACUGUUGGAUUCGUUCUACAGAGAGAAGCAGUUCCAUAUCUUCUCCUAUAUCAAAGAAGCUUUGUCGCUAGAUCCACCUCCACCAAAUACAAAAUCCAUGACUUUUUUCACCAAAAACAAAAGGAUUGAUUGAUAAGUAUGUAAAUUAACCUCAAGAGAUACACAAUUUGACACUAGGUUGUUUUUAAUUCACAUAGAAAAUAGAACUAUGUUUUGUUUAUUUGACUUUAGUCCAAAUAUCAGGAACAUCAAACAUUCAUGUCUAAAAUGAAAAAUUUGGAAAGAAAGGAAUCAAACUUAUACCUGGCUUUCUUCUGUCUAUGCUCUGAUGGAGUUUGAAUGGAAGCUAGUGUUGUACGCUUCUCUUAGUUGCGAUGAAUAUGGCCAAUAAGCAUAGUUAUUUAUAUAGAAAAAUGACACUUGUUAAGAUGAUGUAGUUAUAUAUUAUACCUAGCCGGUAAAGAAUCUAAAAUGUAAGAAAAAUAAAUUGAAGGUGAGAUUUUAUUAAUAAAAGAUAAUUGAAAUAAUUCCCUAUAAGCCCCACCACAUAUUGUUAUUAAAAGCUCUUGUAUUUGAAUUGUGCCUGACGAGAUUCUACGAUACAUCAAAUUUUAAUAAAAUCUAAAUACCUCAUUUUGCUACAAGUAUAUAGAUCGUUUAUUGAGUAUAAGGCAUUAGGUGUUGAUCCCAUAAGAAAUAUUGUCACUUACUGAUGGUUUUCAAACUCCUUUAUUAUUUAGACUAUCACGAAUGCAAGAGAUUAAAUCUACACUGCAAACAUAAAAUCAAAGUAAUAAAAAUAACAAUAUAAAACUCCUAGAGGUAUAGAAUUCCUUACUACUCUUGCAAGUGAAAUCACCGGUUAAUUGAAUGUGAUUAUCUUGACUAAUUAUGGCGUAAUUUUCUCCUAUAUGUGAAACUUACUCUUGCAAGUGAAAUCACCGGUUAAUUGAAUGUGAUUAUCUUGACUAAUUAUGGCGUAAUUUUCUCCUAUAUGUGAAACUUACUCUCGCAAUGAAUCAACUAUACUUGUAAGUAAACCAUACCUACUCUCGUGAUUAUGAAAUUAAUUAUAAGAUUAUUUCUUCUAUGAAAUUACAUUGAACAAACCACUAAAGCCACAAAGGUGUACGUCUACUCUCGUGAGCGUACUCUCUAGGUUUAACACUUCUUUGAACUAGUAUCAAAUCUCAAUUUUCAUUAUAAACUUGACACCUAAAGAUUAUCACAAUUAAUGGCCAGUUAAUCAUGAUUAGAUAAGCAAAAGUGAUAAGUAAUUUGUUCAAAAUAAUAUCAUCAAAUAACCAAUUAAAUAUUACUAACAAGAUAUAGAAAGUCCAUCUAUAACUCUAGACAUAAACUUUAGCACAACAUGAAGAGAAUGAAAGAAAAGACCAUACAUGUAUUAUGACUAACCAUGAAUUCAAGUAUAAAAGAGAAAGUAAUAGGAGAGAAAUCUUUUUUUUUUAACAUAAGUAUUUUAGUUAUUUUAAGAAAAUUUUGACAGAGUUUCCCCUUAUAAAUAGACGAAACUCUCUGCCAACAAACCCAAUUUUAAGAGAAAAUAUGACAUGCUAUCAAAUAACUGGUACGAGUGCACCAUUUCCUGUCCAUGCGAAUUUCCCCUUGCAUCUGUCUUGGAAUUGCUCUUCCCUGACUAGGCUAGUUACUCAGACGAUUUUUUAAGAAAUCGGAGAGAGGGAAGACCUAAUUUAUCCAGCCUGACCGUCCCUCUUGCCAGCUGUGGCAGGCGACUUGGUUGGUCAUAAACCCUAAUCUGGUCAAGUGGGUGCAAGAGACCUUCAUUAGCGAGUAUGUCUGCCACCGUGUUUGCUUCUCUAAAGCAGUGAGAGAAUUGCCCUGGACCCUCAGCCAGCUGCCAUAUUUGGAAGACCUCUCUACGAAUUUGCCAAGGACACUGAAAUCUGCGUUGCAAUAUGCCUAUUAACACCAAUGAGUCGGAUUGUACUUGAACCUGUGUAAAGCCUUUCUGACCGCAAAGUCGGAGACCCGCUAACAGAGCCAAUACCUCAGUACGCAAACUUGUACCGACCCCCAGGAAAACUGAAUAUCCUACCAAAAAUCGACCAUCUGAAUCCCGGAAUACACCACCCCCGCCACUCAUUCCUGGGUUACCCUUAGAGCACCCGUCUGUAUUAAGCGUAACUAUCCCCGUACCUGCUGUCCGCCAUCAGACAAGGCUGCACUGGAGAGGGGAUGAGGGUUGGGAAAGACUUUCAAAAAACUGACCAAAAGUCGGUGGGAAACUACCUUUGUUAAACUUGUCUGCAACCGCCAUAGCAACGUCAUGGAAAAUGCCAUGACAAAUAUCUCCAGACGACAAUCUGAUCCCUUCCCAAAGUGCUUUAUUUCUCACCUUCCAUAUGUGCCAACAGAUGAAACUCGGGAGAAUAAAGACCACAAGCCGUUUUUGGACCUCCGUUUGCUUGGACAACCACCAAGCCAUCGCUCUGUCACGUAACUGACUGCUAGGCAAACCUAUUCCACAAACGACCCCAAAGAAACCCCAAAUCUCCCUCGAAAGUUGUCCCAAUGCAAAAAUAUGCUCAAUAGAUUCCCCUGCUGCCAUACAGCAGCAGAAGCAUUUUGACGGCGAUUGGACCCCAAACUUACCCAAGAUAUCAUCGAGCGGUAGUCUCUGCAGUAGUAGGCGGAGCAUAAAGAAAGAUACUUUUAAUGGGAUCUGGGGAUGCCAAAUAUGAGAGAAGAACCAUGAGGCGUUUCGAGAUUGCCUGACCUCAUGGAAGGCGGAAGAUAAUGAGAACUGCCCGGAUGUCGACGGCAUCCACACCAUCUCGUCCGGCCGCUCAGCCUCUGGGGGUGGCUGCUGUAAUAUCAGAGCCGUGAUGUCCCUUGGAAAGUAUUGGGCAAGAAGCAUUGAAUUCCACCUUCCAUGUACAAGGAAAUCCUUGAAUGUCAAGGUCCCGUGAACCUGAACUUUAUGGAAAAGAGCCCCAUUACCCAACUAGUUGUCAUACCAAAAAUCACAAGUUCCCGCAUUUACCAACCACCGCAUGGAAAGCUCCGCUUGACAGCUCACAUUAACUAGUCGUUUCCAGGUAGCCGGUGCCCUCACACUGUACUCCACCUGACAUGGGUGACAGGAGCGACAAUAUUUUGCUAGCAGAAAUUUGGCCCAGAGAGAAGUGCGACACUUAUUUUAGGAGGUUGGUGGGAACUCUCAGGUAUUUAACUUCUACGAGGCCUGACAUCACUUAUGGAAUUGGUUUGAUUAGUAGAUUCAUGAAAUCUCCACGCCAGUCUCACUUGCAAGCUGCUAAGAGAAUUUUGAAAUACGUUCAAGGUAUGCAAUCUAACAGUAUAUUUUAUUCAUCUUCACAGGGUAGCAACUUUGUUGGAUAUACAGACAGUGAUUGGGCUGGUGAUACAAUACGAAGGAGGAGCACUUCUGGUUAUGUAUUUUAUUUGGGAUCUGGUGUAUUCUCUUGGUCUUCAAAGAAACAACAAGUGGUUGCUUUGUUCACAGCAGAAGCAGAGUACAUGGCGGCUACGAGUAGUGCUACUCAAGCACUUUGGUUGCGGAGAAUGCUUGGAUUCUUACAACAUAAGCAAGAUGGUCCUACCAAAAUAUUUUGUAAUAGCAUGUCUGCUAUUGAGUUGACAAAAAAUCUUUUCAUGGGCGCAGCAAACAUAUUGACAUCAAGUAUCAUUUUAUUCGUGAGUUGGUUCAAGAGCAAGAAAUUGUCAUUGACUAUUGCAGAAGUGAAGAUCAAGUAGCUAAUAUUUUGACAAAGCCGCUCAAGUUGGAGAUGCUCAUGAAAUUGAAGAAGAUGCUCGGCAUGGUGAAAUUUGAAGAUCUUGAUUUAAGGGAGGCAACGUAGGAAUUAAAUCAAGAUUAUUAUAUGUUAGUUUCUGAAUUGGAGUUGGUUGGAAUUAGUAUAGUUCGGGUCUACGUCUAGCUAGUUGAGCUCCAGUCUAACUAGGAUGCUUGAUGUCCAAUUCCAAUGUGGUCUUUGAUUCAUUAGAUGGUGCGGACAAAAUCCCUGAGCAAUAUGGAGACUUGGUGCCCAUAUAUAUAUGUGUAGUACUAGUCUGCUUGUGUGUGGCAUGUAAAGGAGCCGAGAGACUUAUAAAGAAAUAUAGGUUUUGCCUCUUGAAGCUUUUCAUAGUUCUGCUUCUGCUUCAUUGCCUCGCUUCGUCAUAAACAGUGCUAUUUAUUUAUCCCUUUUUUAUUCUUUAUCCUUCGCUGCCUAAUUAAUUCAUUGAGUGAAAUUUAUUUGUUGUUAUCCUGUGGGUUAUAUUUCUACAAGUACACUAAUGUUGCUCAAAAUCUCAAGCAACAUUUCCAUAAUUUUGAUAUUUUUUCAGAGACCAUGCAUGAAUGUGAAAGUGAUAUGUAACUUUAGGAUCACUGUAUUUCUUUCUUGGCAAGAGUUGUUUUGCCAAUGGGAACAGUAUGCCAACAAUGGGAACAGUAUCUUGCUAUGAAGAUCCUCUUGCAAGUGUAUGAACAAGUUACACGAACUAAUCCAAAAGGAUAACCUUGAGCGCACUCAAGACGCGUUGAAACCAACUAACAUAAAGUGUUUGUAUGUGAUAAAAUAUAUCAAAGAUGAAUGAAUAUUACAGUAACCCUAACUGAGCCUAUUUAUAAGCACAUAACUACUAAAAACAUAUAAGGAAUAGGGAAACUACUAAAACUACCAAAAUAGAAAAAGAAAAGAAAUAACAAGAAAAUUAGCUAUUAAAAUCUCUAUUGGCACAUGCUACCUGCUCCGGGGCUGGAUCCAAGGCCCACGGUUCAGGCUCUGGGGCCGGAUCAUUGUCAUAAGAGGCCAAAAUUUGCCAUUGUGAUCUGCCGCUGGAUCCAGCACUAGGCACCCUUGGAUCCAGCGCAGGUUCUUCCUGGGGGGCCUGAGGAUGUUCCACUGUCAGGGACACCAACCAUUGAUCAACUUUUGGUUGAGUUACCUUAUCUAGCAAAUCUGAAAAUGAACUGAUUGAUAUCUGGAUCGUCUCCUUUGACAAUUUCUUGGUUAGAAAAGUGUGAUAGAGAGAAAUAAUCCCACUAGCAACCUCUUCAAAGUGUGAUAGAUUCGGUUUCACAUCCUCGACCGGGUGAUGUUUGACAAGUCAGUAAGUCCUGCAAAUAUCUCCCUGCCUUGGAGAGAAGAAUUCUUAGAAGCAUCAUUGACAGUAAAUUCCUUAUCUUCGACUCUGUCAUUUUCUCAGCUUGAAACGAUUGAUAGAGAGACUCUAUCUCGCCAACCACUUCCUCCAUCACAAUCAAGGCCUGGUUCGCAUUGUUUAACUCCGUCUGCGGUAUAUCUCUGGAUGAUGAUGUUCUAAGCAUUUCCAGUCCCUUACUGAGGGCAUUAAUUUGGUCUGCAGUGUCUGGUGAAAACAUUGUGCCGAUACCUACUUGAUGCUCAAGGAAGAUCUCUACCUUGAGAAGUAAAAUCUUCUGCUCGAGAUACCAAAGCUUGGCCUUAUGCACCUCACAAGAUGAAAGACUAAUAAAUGGGACAUCUCGGAGAGGUAAGGCCUCUCUAAGCACUGCCAUAAUAUCUGCCAUGCGACAUUCAUCCUUCUCACUCGAUUCCUCUUGAUGAUGGAGGACAUAGCUUACCAGGGUCAUCAACCCUAUAUGACGAUGAUUAGUGCCCUGUUUCAAACCAAAAAGAUGAUCUAGAAAGAACAUGGUUUUGUAAUCAGCUUCUCUAAAUGCUGUCAUCAAUUUGAGGUCUUUCAGGAAUUUGAGAUUCAACUCGAGAAACUUUGAAUCACUAGGGUCAAUCUGUUGUUGCAGAUCCAAAAUCCCAACAAUUGCACUUACUACCACUUUUGAAUUCAUUUGCCCGAACCAGUAAAUACAAGAAUAAUAUGCUGUCUGAACAGUAACAGAUGCUACAUGGUGCAGGAAAUCUUUAAUUUGCCAGUUUCUAUCACGUGGAAUAUAAUAACUACUUGUCACUUGACUUGAGAAAGGAAAAAUCUGAGGAAUGUCACCUGUUUUCUGAAGGCAUGAAAUUUUUCUGCUAGAACAGGAUCAGAUUCAACUCUUGUGGAGAUCAAUUCCAGAUUCUCUUCUACCGAACCAAUAAAACAUUUCAAGGGAUAAUGAUUAUAAAAGGGCCAGGAAUUCUUCAGAUGAAUGGAUUCACUAGGCUGGAAACAAUGAAGAGCUGCUUCAGCUUCUGGCCUUGGCUGCUCAAUGUUUUUAAGAGACUCACGCAUAAAGUGAGCCAAUUUGGAAGGUCUUCUUAAAGCAUAUCUCUUUUCACGGGCAAAGUUUAGAUUGUGAUUUAUCUCAUCCUCUGCAGCUUCCAUCUUAGAUAUGAGAAAUCCUGUACCCUGCACAUCCUUUCCUGUUUUAGUCCAAUAGUGACUUGACCACCAAAACAUCAUCACAAAUCCCCACUCCAUUUUAAGGCUAUCAAUCAGAGAUUGCAGAACAGAGCUCGUAACCUCCUCCUCUGGAUCCAUCUCCGUUAAGCCUCGUUGUCCAGACAACACGCGACAAGCAGUAAAAAGCUGUGUGCAGUGCACUGGAUGACCAUCCUCCUCAUGCGAACCUUUGGUAGCAGCAAGAAAAUCAUCAUUCCUCAGCUGCUGGCUCAGCUCCUCUACCAGAAACUCUUGUGCCUCUAGGGCACAAGAAACUCUUUUAAAUUUACCAGAAACCUCAGCCAUCAAAGACGUCAAUAAUUGACACCCUUUUUGCAAUCUCAAAACUUUUCACUCUUAGGCAGCAACACUAAUAUUAGAUGGAGAAAGAAAAAUGGUAUAAUAUGCCGGUUAAGCAGUGCUGAUUGCACAUUGAACAGGGUCUUACUCUCCUGGGCGGGUGUUACUGGAAAUUCUCUUAUGUGGAGUCUUUGGUAAAAGACUUGGCUUGUAAGCAAAAGCAACAUGAAGAACCUCUAAUAAAUGAAGCUUGAUAGAUCUAGUGCAAACAAAUACAGAUGCUUUUGCACCAAUAUUUUGAUUACAGUAACUCUUCCCUAAUAAAUGACAGAAUUAUCCUAUAAAACAACCAAAUACUAAUCAGUACUCAAAAAGCACACAUAGAUUUUGAAUAUCUGUGCGAUAACUUGUUAUAUCUACCAUACAUCUAUUAACUAAAAUAUGUCUAUGAUUAUGUCUACUAUAUGACCAUUAACUAAAAUAUAUCUAUGGUUGACUGAUUGAGGAGCUGCACGAAUAGUCGAAGCCAUACCCAAAGUUUCUUGUCAAGCUGGCCAUAUGAUUAUAUCUGUCUCAGUUCCUGACCAGUCCUUUUUUACAAUAGUUCAACAUCUUCAAGACGCGUGUGUUGUUGUACACCUAAAACCACCAUUCUUCAACUCUCAGUUGAAAAAAUAAAUCACUCCAAACUAUCAAAAUUCAUUUCCUUUCUAGGACUUCAAGCCAAACAAGAUCAAGUUUAUGUCACACAAUUAUGGAGGCAUUGAUCAUUUGGUUCAUCUAAAUAACUCAGAAUGAAACUCUUAAGUCACAGGCAAUGUACUUGAAAGACAAGGACGGAAAAAUUUUCACUAAUGGAACAUUGAAUCAGGCCUUUUGACUUUUUUUUUUUCCAGUAAACAAAGACAUCAACUGCCAGAUGCCAGCCAUCUUUAAUGGAAAGUAAACGCUAAUUGUAACAAGCAAUGCAGAACUAUUAAUUUGUUUGUCACUUAAUAUAUUCUAACGGAGGCAAUCGAGAAAGAGUUAUUAAUCAAAAUUAUUACCAGCAGCUGACAGUCAGGAACCGGCCAAAAUAGAAAAUAAUCCUAUAGAAAAACUUUUUUAUGGGGUACAUGGAUACGUGUACCCAACACUAGUUAAGCAUGAAUAUUUAAAUAAUCAUGAUUAAAUAAGCACAAUUAGGAAAGAUUAUCUCCUACAGAAACAAUAAUGAGACAGGAUACAUGGACGAAAAAAUUGUUUAACCACGUAUCUAAUUCAAGGGAGAAAAAAAAAGUCAGAAUCCUAGAUGACCAGUACACGAAUAAAAAUACAUGCCUGGGAGGGAACAGAAGGAAGUCUUGUCAACGCCAACAGCUUGGGCUGGGCGUAUAGGCGCACCAUCUCACAAAGCAUAGUUUAAAUUACCGGUGCCAUGCUGAGACAGCAUCUUGACAAGGGGAUCUAAAUAUGUUAAAAAAUUUUCAGCUAAACUUUGGAUUUGUUCUUUCAGGAUGAAUUUAGACCUAUAUUUAAACUUGGAAGUGCAGUACGUGUAAGCAGAGACUGGUGCCCUGUCCCUUUUUUUUUUCCUUUAAUGGCAAACCCUGUACACGAGAUGCUGUUAUGUCCUUUCUCUGAUGAGUGCUAGUGGUGACAAACAUUCGAGAGAACAUUUGCAGGAAAUGAAGCAAAUCUCCAAGCAAGAAGAGGGCAUAGGAUAUAACAGUGAUAAAUUCUAUUAAACCAAUGACAAGUUAUGGGAUGGUUUUAGUUGAUGGAUCCAACCAAAUAACAAGGACUGAUAUUAUUCUUGGGCCUGCUAAUUUCCGAAAGAGCCUCAGGAAAAUUUACCAACUUGUUUAUGAAUUCCUAAUUUACAACAGCAUUUACCAUGCUUUCAUUGAUCUCUGAAUAACUAAAUUGCAAUUAAGCUUCUUUCUGAGCAAGUAAAUUGCAAUUAAGCUAGCUGAAGAAAGAAUUGCUUUGCCUGGGAUAGCUCUGUAAUGAGUAUGUUAAAUGUAGAUCUUGAACAUGCAGAGCCCUACCCGCAUUUUGACAUGCAUCUAGAUGCUUCAUAAGUUGAUACUACAAUGCAACCGUUUUCUUUGUCUUAAAAUUAGCAAUUAACUCACUGUAUCUAAUUGUAGGUUCUUUAUCUACAAAAUUACUUAGUUACAAAUGUCAAAUGAAAGAUUCAAAGAAAGACAUAUACAGAAGGCAAUUAAAAGGCACAUAAUGCUUUACUUCAGAACUUACUAAAGCAAUGGUUUCCAAACACCAUGAUUACAGGGGUAUCAUUUUAGGAGCUCAUUAGCCAACAAAAGUGCACAUCCAUUGACCUAAAUCAGAAACUUAUAUUUCUAAACCAAUUAACAUGGUGGUCUAUAAGGCUUAGGAGCAUUGGGAUUUCCUUGCUCAUAGAAAGUCCGUAGAAGAGAGAUUGCCUCUGAUGCCAUUAUUCCUCCUUGGCACUUGAAACCCUUCCUAGAGUGGUCUCUAAAACCAGUGGGAGUCUGAAUGCUACCAGAAUGCAGUGACAAUAUAGAUCUGCAUCCUCCAAAUUUAUCAUUCGCACAACCAUAAUAUACUUGUUUUAUUCCAAGAACGAAUAAGGCUGCAGCACAUAUUAUGCACAGCUCGCAUGUGACGUAAAGGGUGCAGAUUGAAAACUUUCAGCAACUUGAGCCUUUGAAUGUCCAGUUUUCUGCCACUGGUCCAGCAGGACAUCUAUCGCUUCCAUCUCCGCAUGCCUUGUAGCAUUUUGGCUCUCAGUGGUUCGAUUUCUUCCAGAGGCAAUAACAUUAUUCCCUUCAUUCACAAUAGUACAACCAACAGGCACUUCAAGGCUAUCUAAAGCAAGCUUUACUUGGUCCAAUGCAAACUUACAUAAACCAUAGUAUCUGGAAUGGUGUCCAUCUUUAGUCUUAUUGUGGCUGCAAAUACCUACAUUUAUGCCAAAUGAAACGGUGGCUACUAAGAUUUGCUGAAUGCAAGAAAUGGCCAGGGGAGGAAUAGCAAACAAGAGGAAAAUUGCCUUAAAUACAUGUAUAUCUACAGUAAUGAAUAACAUCAGCCGUGGAAACACAUGCUUGUCACAUAAAAUGUUUCAUAAAAUACAUUCUUUGAACAAAUUAGUAUUCAAUGCUUGGAAUUUUAAAAAAUGAAUUUCCUUAGUGCGCCCCAGGAGGGUUGUUACAAGAAAAUUAAGUAGAAGAAUAAACCUUCUUGAAUAAUAACAGAAAGACACUCCAUUCUUCUUUGUAUUCCUCACAGAAGUCAACAUAGAAAGAAGCAUAAUCAACUUUCAAGCACCCCUCUCCAAACUUGAAAUUCAAUCACUCCAAAUCCAAGAUGUUCUUUUAAGAAAAAGAUUUUUUGCCCAAACAUUUCCCAACAAGUAAUCCCAACUCAUAUCAAAUGCACUGCCUGUAAAAUCUAGUCUACAACUAUCACAGAUAAUGCAUUCACUGAACUAUUAUGUCACACUUAAGAAAGUUACAAGCCUAUUCUUCCCUACAAGCACGAAGUACAUAUUCUCAUGUUGUGGUGACAACGAUUUAAUGUGGGGCUGCGAUAAUAAGACAAUCCACAGAACAACAUGCUUUUUAUUUCUCCAUAACAUCAAUGCAAGAUACAUGGUCUCUGUACUUUGCCCCUGUUGUCCAAAGACUUAACAGUAUUAGGGUGUAAAGAAGCAAAAGCAAAGAUUAACUAGCUUAAGACACAGGAUGUCUCAUAUCUUUUCAGAGUAGAGCAUACAGAAAGAAGAAUCCUGCAUUGGUUGCUUUUUAAAAAAUGUGUAUCUCUCAUUAAUUCGCAUUAGGCAUGCAACUUUACAUAUAAGGUUACAAAGAGAACCACCCCAAAAAAAAAAAGGCAGAACAGCAAGCGUAAAUACAGUGGUUCAAGUUACAUGUAAAGUAUCCUAGUAAUCCAGCUUAAAAUCAAAAUGCAAAUGGGAAAUUUCCAUAAGAAAUGCAUCUGCAGAUAGAUCCAGGUAUUAGAAUUAUCAUUGCUGCAGGCUAAAAUCAAUCUUCAUGCCACAUCAUAGUCCACAGUCCCCAAAAAUAUUUCUUUUUCCCACAACGUAAUCCUAGUUGUUGAAAUAUUAACUCUGGCUUAAAACAGUGCCUCAAAGCUAUGAUAUAAUAAAAUUGUUCACCAACAGUAGAAUUGAGUGCUAGUAUUCAGUCAAAGUACCUAUUGAUAAUAUACAACCACCAAGCUUUCAGCAGAUGAUGAGAUGUAUAUCAUCAUCUUAAUAGAUUUCUAAGAAUAAAUAAAUCUUGUCUUUUCACCAGAGAGAGUAACCAGCAGUAACACUUGGACAUCAGGGCAUCAGCACAAAUUCAAUAACUGAAGAGGUCCUUCACGACUGGCCAGAAUUACCUCUCUCGUGCCACACACGAACACACAAUACACACUGAAAUUUUAAAGAAAAAUGCAGAAAAACAGCAAAAACAAAAAGAAACAUGAACCACAAAAAAUCUGUCAAAACUUCUGUCAUUUUGCCAGAGAACUCAGAUGCUCGGUUUUCCUCUUUUGAAUGUGCAUAGUCACCAGAUUCUUCCCUCUAGCUGAAGUUGUUAUUGGGGCAUUUUCACUAAUGGGUUUUUGGCCACAAAAAAAAGUCUUUUAUAGGAUUUAAAAGUAAUCAUGUGAAAAAAUUUCUAAUGUAAUCACAUUCAAUCCAUACUAAUUCAAACGACAUUCACCUUCCAACCAAAAUCAACAAGCAAGCCAAAAAAAAAUCAUGCUACAUGAAAACAAAAUAACACUAUUUUCAUGAAAAUAAUGGAUAAAUAGAAAAACAAGGCUUGUCAGACCUUUACAGUAUUUCAAAGGAGCUUUUGGCAGUGGCAGUGCUGGAUUACGGUGAGAUAGUGAUAAGUACCUUAUAUGCACUAUCUUUUUUGGCUAUUUUAAGGAAUUUCUAAUCACUUUUUAAUCAAAAUCAAGUGUUGAAGAUGAUAUUAUCCUAAAAGUUAAUGUUUGAGCAUUGUUGUUCAAUGACUAGAACUUUUGUCUCUUUUUACCUAUUUGGUUGGUUGAUUUUGUAGGAAAAGGGGCGAAAGACUUGCAGGUAGUUUGGUCAUCAAGAUAAGCGAAGAAAGCAAGAAAUGUUUGUAAGGACUUGAAAAUUAUUUUAUAUUCUUCCUACAAUUUUCUUUAUUUUUGAAUAAGUUAAUUUAUAUAUUCUUUUGAACUAAUUUGCUUGUCUUAAUUUCUUAAAUACUUUAACAAUUGAGUCAAGUGUUUUAUCUUUUCUUUUAUAGUUUGGUGCAUGUUAAGUUUUGUAGUACAUUGUGGUAGUGUGACCAACUAGAGAGGUGUGUAUUAAAUUUGGUGGAUGAGAAUGGGUGCGGUGUUAAAAGGAUUAUAUGAUUAGAAGUGUUAAAAGUUAGAAGUGUUAAAAGUCUAUUAGAGGAACAUAAACAAGCAAUAAGAGGCUAAGAGAGAUGAAGAAAUCGGAAUGAAAUCAUAUGCCGUCAAAUAUCGCACUUCUAGGCAACUUUGACCAAGACUUCUUCUAGUGUUUACCUUGUAAUUUUUCACCAAAAAUCCUCUACUUUUCUUCUUCUUUUGGCCGAACCUAUAGAGAGAAACUACUACAAAUUUCUGCCUUGAUCUUUGCUUGAUUUAGUAAGAAAAUCAACAAGAAAGCUAAAUCCAAUCCGUAGAAAGUAGCAACAAGGGAGUAAGUAAACUUGUGGUGAAGUAAUUUGGGAAAGAAAGCUCUUAUUUUUGCAUUUUCCUCUUGGGAUUUGUAGGUAUCAUGCUAAGAAACUUUUCUCUCUUUAUAUAUGACUUGAUUAUGAAAGUUUUGUGAAGGAUUUCGUGGUUUUGUGAAGUUGGUUGAAUUUUUCAAUUUUAAUUUGUAUUUUUCCAACUUUGAGAUGAGAAGUUCUAGCUUUGAUAUGAACUUGUGGGUUUUGAUAUGAGAAUUUCUAGCUUGAAUAUGCACUUUUAGCUUAGCUAUACGAUUUUCUGGCUUUAGUUUGCAAUUUCUAGCUUAGAGUUUGUGACGACCCCACCUUCCCCUAGGACGAACCCAAAGGUUUUGGCGGACCGCCUGCUCAACUCUUGUCAUGAUUCACUCACUAACAUUCUUGAAAUAGUCUUUCACGCCUCUAGAUUAACAUAAAAGUUCCAUUCAUCCAAGAAUUUCAACUUAACUUAGAAUCCAAAAGUAAAACAUAGGAUUCCAUUAACAAAGAUCCCAAAUACAUUUCAUCUACAAAAGUACAAGUACAUGAAGAUUAUACACACUAUUUCAUGCUUACUUGCUCAGACCUCCAUUCCUGUAAGGAAAACAAAAACUAAAACAAUGAACUAAAAGUCCAGUGAGAUUCCCAAACAAGCACUCAGGUAGAUAAACUAUGGAAGUAUUACAUUUAACAAUUUGCACAGUAAUAAACAAUCAUUCAAGAAUCAAACAUUUAAUCAUUGGAAAGAUACGUACUCACUUGAAAUCGUGAAGUCGCCUACCAUUUCCCUUAUUCCUCCGACAUUUGAAAACAUUAAAAGUGAAAACUCUUUCAGUGUUCAUUUCAUUCAUUCAUUCAUUGCAUUGCAUUCACUGGCCAGUUCUCCACCUGAUUUCGUGGUCAUGCUCGAGUAUACCAAAUACUGUCCCAGUAUCACCAGCGGCCCGAUCGAAUCCGUUUCUAGUUCGAGUCGACUGGCAAUGAAGAGUAAGGGACUAGUUCAGCCAAAGGCAUACAUUCAUGCACAAGUAAUUCACUUAGGUCAAAUGCAAUAAAGUAUACACUCGCCCAUCGAAAAUCCAUUUAACAAUCAUUGAAAAGCAUUUAACAUCCAAGCAAAUAUUCACAAUAUUCCACAUAACCAUUGGAAGCACAACAUGCAAGGAACACUAACCGAUAUUAGUAGAUUAAAUAUCAACUCUUAGGAUAAUAAUCUUGAUCGCUACCAAAACCCUGAGGCAAGAUUCACAAUCACAAUAGGUUUAAAUUUCGUAGCUUCAACUAGCCACGUCUAGUAUUCCAAGGUAUUCCAUAUACUUCUCACUUUGAGCUCAAGACUUAAAGAUAAAAUCCAACACAAAUAUUCUAAAAGUGAAGAGAGCAAUUUAAGCAUCCAAAAUCACACCAAAUUAAGGUUUAAGACCUAGAAAAGUAUUCCAACUCCCACUCAAUUCAUUUGAUAAAAUUCUCAACUUUGGAGACAUUCUUUGAAAAAGCAUACCUUGACUUCCAUAGGUCAAAAUAUCACAAAACUUGCACCAUUAUAAAAUAGACUCGAAGCACUAACAGGCUUUAGAAGACAUCUUCAUGAAAUUCAGCUCAUAGGUUAGUCAAAUUUUAGUUCAAACUCACUGCUGUCUCAUGUGCAAAAAUAGGAUAGUCAUAGUUUUCAAGAAAGUUUACCGAUUUGCUGGUAUUUAUAGGAGUUGAACCAAAUCCUGAAUUUUAUAUCGUUGAAAGCCCUAUGAGUCUAGUUUCAAACGCAACAAUUGGAACUCAAUUUCGACUUUCCUAUACAAAGUUAUAGUCAAUUUCCCAAAACUGCGCAGGACUUCCUGUGAAAAUUUUCCAGCAAGUUAUUAGUUUGGAAAACUAGGUUUUUCCCCUUCUUAAACUUCUUUGUUUUGGUUGAAAACUAACACACAUGCAAAGAAAUAGAUUGUAACAAGUGUUUUGAGAAAAUUCAUAUGAAAGUUAGAAAUCUUAAAGAUCAACUUAAAUAUCCUUACGUAAACCAAGUCCGAAUUGAUCACAAAUCACACCUCUACUUCCACUUUUACUCACUUACCCCACAAGAAGAAAAUUGGGCAGCACCUCCCCUAUUUUUCUUAACUUUUCCCUCAAAUUUUUUAAGUUAAGUUUCAUGGCAAAAUAGCCCAAAUCAACUCCACAAGUUAUAAGAUAAAAGGGGUUCUUAUACUAGGUUACAAUACCAACUAAUUUAAACUUAUCUCUAGCAUAUAAACAUCACAUAUCUAAGUUGAAAAUUUUUCUACCAAGGCUGAAAAUUUGGAACUAAAGCUGGAAAUUCUUAUUUGCAAGCUAAAAGUCACAUUAAAGCUAUAAAUCUUCAUACAAGUCCAUAUCAAGGUUAGAUACCAUCAUAUCAUGGCUAAAAAAUAUAAUACAAAGCUGAAAAAUUCCACUAAUCUUCACAAAUCCAGGUUAUCUUCCAUAAAACUUCUAUAUUCAAGUCGUUUUCCUAAUAAAAUGCAAGAUGAGAAAGAGAAAGAAAGUUUUUCAACUUAAUACCUUCAACCUCUAGGAGAAAAUGAAAAAUUAAAACUUUCCUCUCCAAGUAACUCCACUACAAGUUUGUUCGGAUUAAACUAGUGAUUCUUGUUGAUCUUCACUCAAUCAAGGCAAGAUCAAGAUGAGAAAUGAAGCUCUCUUCCUCUCUUUUUCCCUCUCUUUGGUCGGCCAACAUGGAAGGAAAAUGAAGGGAAUUUUGGUAUUAGGAAAGAUAAGAAUGGAAGAAAACUUUUGGUCAAAGGUAGCUUUGAUUGCCAACACUUGGCAAUCAUCUACUUUUCCUCUUUUUUUUUUUUUUUCUUUUUCCUCUCUUUCUUGGUCAAUAAUUUUGGUCAGCCCUAGGAUAAAAUUAGGGAAAGGAAAAUUAAAGAAAAAUAAGAAGAUUUGGGAAAGAAAGUCUUGGUCGAGUGGUGUCUUUGACAGGUAACAAAUGGCGCGAGUCGGUUCAAACCUAUUUCUUUGUUUCUCUUGUACUUUUGUUUUAACUUAUGAUUCACUAACUUACUUUUAGCACUUUUAAUCAUAUACUUCCUUUUACUUAAUACCUACUCUUAUCCACAAAAUUUAGUACACACACCUCACCGAACUUCCUUCCUUGUUGCAACCGUCUAUGGAUGGAUUUAGGGUUUGAGGUUGAUUUUUUCACAAAAUCUAGUUAGGAAUCAAGAUGAAACUAGUAGAAACUUUCUCUCUUUUCUUGCUUGAGGGAGUCGAGCAAAGGGAGGAAGAAAGAUGAUGGAUUUUUCUUCAAUUUUUCAAGAUAAGAGCAAGGACAAGUCUUUGGUUAAAGGGGCUCAGUCAAACUUUAAGAGAUGAGUGACAAAUGGCGGCAAAUGGUUCAAAUCUAUCUCUUUGUCUCUCUUGUGUUUCUAAUCUCCAAGGAUCUAUUUGGAUUCAGCAUUUUUUUGAAAAAUAAUUUUUUCACCUACAAUACUACAGUAAUACACAAACAAAAACAACUCCAAAAACAUCAUAUCUAAACAAUAUAUCAAAAACAACUCCAAAUAUACAAAAAAAUUCAAAAUUUUUGAUUUCAAAUUAUGCGAAUUUGGUUCAAAUUCGGCAAUGGAGUUUUUGAAAUCGAAAAUAGAAAUCAGAUUUUUUUAUUUCAAUUUCGUUUUAUAUUAUAUAUAUAUUAAUAUUUAUUUAUUUAUAUAUAUAAUAUUUUUUAUUUCAAUUUUAUUUUAUAAUAUGUAUAUUUCAAUUAUGUAUAUUAUAUUAUAUAUAUAAAUUACAUUAAUAUUAAUAUGUAUAUUUCAAUUAUGUAUAUUAUAUUAUAUAUAAAAAUUAUAUUAAUAUUAAUAUGUAUAUUUCAGUUAUGUAUAUUAAUAUGUAUAUUAUAUAUAUAAUAUCAAUUGAAAUAAAUAUAUAUAUUUAUAUAUAAAUAUAAAUAUUUUGUUUAAAAUAUAAUUAUAUAAAUAUAUUUAUUUCAAUUUUGUUUUAUAAUAUGUAUAUUAAUAUAGAUUAAUAUGUAUAUUUCAAUUAUGUAUAUUAAUAUGUAUAUUAUAUAUAUUAUAUCAAUUGAAAUAAAUAUUAUAUAUUUAUAUAUAAAUAUAAAUAUUUUAUUUAAAAUAUAGUUAUAUAUAUUUAUAUUUAUAUUUAUAUUUAUAUAAAUAUAUUUAUUUCAAUUUUGUUUUAUAAUAUGUAUAUUAAUAUAUAUUAAUAUGUAUAUUAUAUUUCAAUUAUAUAUAUAAAUUAUAUUAAUAUUAAUAGGUAUAUUUCUAUUAUGUAUAUUAUAUCAAUUGAAAUAAAUAUAUAUUUAUAUAUAAAUAUUAAUUUUGUUUUAAAGAUAUGUUUAAAAUAUGCCUUAUACUUUGCAAAAAUCUUAGCAGUCCAAAAUUACCUCAAAGAUCUAGCACUCAACCCAACAGAAGCAUCAAACAGAACCUAAAGAUAUUUUCGAGUUAUCAUAUUAACCCCAGAAAAAGUUGUCCAGAAAUAGCAGAACAUCCCUGUAGACACACUAAAUUAAACACCCAUUGUAUAUACACUCUGGACUACUUCAUUUUUAAAGCCUCUAUUAUUAUGCAUAGAUACAAUAGACCUCCUAGACUUAAUGUCAAUGGACAAAGACUUGUUUUAACCCCACAACUUCUCAUGGAUUAUGGAUUUAUUGAAAAUAUUUAUUUCAUAAGACUAGAUGAUACUUUCAGGAUGGGGACACAUUUGGCAUAUUUUGUAAGAAGAAUGUUAGAUUAUGGUGAUUGGGUAAAAGUCCAGAUCAGAUCAGCACCAUCAGAAUGGAUCGGGCUAUUUGAUUUUGAACCCACAAUACACAGAAUCAAAAUAUUAGUUAGCAAUAUAUGACCAAUUUUUGAAGGAAUAAUCCCUGCAAAUCAAAUUGUAGAAUGUCCAGCAUCUUUAGAAGAACAGCUCAGACAGAAGAAAGCAGUACAAUUGGCGUACAGACAUUUUAAGGCAGACUGGAGAGAUUUGAGACUUGUUUCUGAGAGCAAAUUUCAAAAAAUUUAUACUCCAUACAACUUUAAUUUGGAAAAAGAUUUUACAAUCCAGACUACUUACCCAGAAUUUUUUCAAGAACACUUGGAAGAUUAUAUGGGUGAAGACAGAAGAAAUAUGGAUAUAGAACCAUUAGUCAUAGCACCAGGAGCAGAAGAACAAGAUAUGAAAGACUUUUGGGAUACAACUCAUUAUUACAACAGCAUGACCCCAGAAGAAAUCCAUAACAUCGAAAACAUGAUGGAAGGCUAAAACACUAAGUCUUGUCGGCCAUUCCUCAGUAGAAGACAACCAGCAGGAAAAGAGUACUUUCCGGAUUUAAAAACUUUGAAAUCCGAAAGCUGUACAUAAUAAUGACAGCUGAUUAGAAAGAAAGUUUUUUAGGUCAUUUGUCGGCCACAUUCUUUUAGAAAAAGUCCGGAUUCCAAACUAAUUGAAAUCCGAAGGUCACAUUUUAGAAAAAGUCCGGAUUCCAAACUAGUUGAAAUCCAAACAGUUUUUUCUUUAUAUACCUCAAGAGUGCUCAUUCAUCGAAUAGUAUGAAACCUUGUGAGCAACCUGAGCAUAAGGCAUACUUGUAAAGUAUAACCUCUCUAAUCUCUCUCAAGUACCAAGUACUCAUAACCAUAUGCAUAUUUUAAAAGCUGACAUUUGCUUGUGAAUACAAUACCCUGUAUGAAUUACUAUAAUUUCACUAGUACACCAUAACAAGCAUACGACGUAGCUUUAAGAGAACUUAAAACACCUAAUACUUAUCAUUUUUUCAGUAAUAUAUUAGAAACCUUAGAAACUAUAGAUCAGUGUAAAGCAUAUUUAAUAAUUUUAGAAAAGUUAGUCAUCACCACCCUUCCUCAUUUAUUAGAAAUAUUAGACAAGCUAAAAUAGAUUUAGUAUACAAUAGAAUCCAAAACCUAAACAUAGAAAAAGAAAUCCAAGAAAGUAUAUCUGAACAAGCAAGAUCUUCUAAAACAAAGUGGUUCAUUUAAUUGAUUUCUAAAUUUUUGGAUUAAAACAAAGUGGUUCAUUUAAUUGAUUUUUAAAUUUUUGGAUUUUAAAUUUUUGGUUCAUUUAAAAAUUUGGUAGAGGUUAUACCUUCCUUUUAUUGCAUCGUCUUAUUAUCCUUCUGAUGCAAUGAGAGUGGGAAUCCUAUUCUCCUAAGAGAUUUGCCUCGCCCGAUCUUCCUUGUAGCCUUCAACGCCUUCCUGGCAACACGGCUCUAGUGGUACUACACGGUCUUUUGGUCUUUUUAAGGCUCUUAGUCACAGGGUAUCUCUCUCAAAGUUUCCGGUAAGACUGCAAUCUAGGGUUGGCUGCUACUAACCUCUACUCUCUGUUUCCCUUACCUCCUUCUAAGUAAUUGGUUUUGGAUAUGGUUGGUUUUGGAUGAACUGAGAUAUCUAUUGAAUGCAAAAAUUUACAGGUAGAAUUUACAAGUAUGCCUUAUACUCAGGUUGCUCACAAGGUUUCAUCCUGUUCGAUGAAUGAGCACUCUUGAGGUAUAUAUAGAAAAAACUGUUCGGAUUUCAACUAGUUUGGAAUCCGGACUUUUUCUAAAAUGUGGCCUUCGGAUUUCAAUUAGUUUGGAAUCCGGACUUUUUCUAAAAGAAUGUGGCCGACAAAUGACCUAAAAAACUUUCUUUCUAAUCAGCUGUCAUUAUUAUGUACAGCUUUCGGAUUUUAAAGUUUUUAAAUCCGGAAAGUACUCUUUUCCAGCUGGUUGUCUUCUACUGAGGAAUGGCCGACAAGACUUAGUGUUUUAGCCUUCCAUCAUGUUUUCGAUGUUAUGGAUUUCUUCUGGGGUCAUGCUGUUGUAAUAAUGAGUUGUAUCCCAAAAGUCUUUCAUAUCUUGUUUUUCUGCUCCUGGUGCUAUGACUAAUGGUUCUAUAUCCAUAUUUCUUCUGUCUUCACCCAUAUAAUCUUCCAAGUGUUCUUGAAAAAAUUCUGGGUAAGUAGUCUAGAUUGUAAAAUCUUUUUCCAAAUUAAAGUUGUAUGGAGUAUAAUUUUUUUGAAUUUUGCUCUCAGAAACAAGUCUCAAAUCUCUCCAGCCUGCCUUAAAAUGUCUGUACGCCAAUUGUACUGCUUUCUUCUGUCUGAGCUGUUCUUCUAAAGAUGCUGGACAUUCUACAAUUUGAUUUGCUGGGAUUGUUCCUUCAAAAAUUGGUCGUAUAUUGCUAACUGAUAUUUUGAUUCUGUGUAUUGUGGGUUCAAAAUCAAAUAAUCCGAGCCAUUCUAAUAGUGCUGAUCUGAUCUGGACUUUUACCCAAUCACCAUAAUCUAACAUUCUUCUUACAAAAUAUGGCAAAUGUGUCCCCAUCCUGAAAGUAUCGUCUGAUCUUAUGAAAUAAAUAUUUUCAAUAAAUCCAUAAUCCAUGAGAAGUUGUGGGGUUAAAACAAGUCUUUCUCCAUUGACGUUAAGUCUAGGAGGUUUGUUGUAUCUAUGCAUAAUAAUAGAGGCUUUAAAAAUGAAGUAGUCCAGAGUGUAUAUACAAUGGGUAUUUAAUUUAGUGUGUCCACAGGGAUGUUCUGCUAUUUCUGGACAACUUUUUCUGGGGUUAAUAUGAUAACUGGAAGAUAUCCUUAGGUUUCUGUUUGAUGCUUCUGUUGGGUUGAGUGCUAGAUCUUUGAGGUAAUUUUGGACUGCUAAGAUUUUUGCAAAGUGUUGUUUUUGAACUUUCUGGCUAAUGAUUUCUAUAAUGCGUAAGGGAAAUGGUUCUAACAUAUGAUGUGGUUUAAAAAAUAUUCUGGGCUUUAUAUAAUCAAAAGGUCUUUCACUAUUGGGCUUUUCUUUUAUGAAUAUUUCUUUUACUGGGCCGGACGAAGAACUGGCCAGUUGUGAUACUGUUUGAGAUGGUCUUCCUUGAAGUUCUCCAAUUUCUGAGAUUUGUGUAAGAAUAGUGUCACUUUGUGACCAUGAAAUCUUACACAUUUCUUUAAACUGCCCUGUUAAGGAUUUAACCUUCUCUUUAAGAACUGGUUUCUUCUUCAAAAUUUCUACAUUUAAAAUUUAAACUUCUAAUAGCUUCUUCCAUUGUUUUACAAUGUCUGCAAAAUUCUAUUCUGUUUAUGUUGUCUCUUUCUAUUGCAUGCUGAUAACUUCUACUACUACUACUAUUAUCUGUUUGUAUUGGCACCCUCAUACUAUCCAUACUAGCUUUAGGAUCUAUGUAGAUCCUACUAACUAAUAUGUUUAAGAAUUAAAUAUGUUUAGAUAAUAUUGUUUCUUAUAUCCUAUCUUUUUUGGUUUAAAAUAUUUUUUCUUUUUUCUGUAUUCUUUGUUUUUUUUCUCCAUAUCUUUGUGGUGUAUAUAUUUCUGAACAAAAACUAUAUUCUCCUUUUAAUUGUUUUUGAAUUUUGAUAAACGUACAUUCUUCUACUAAUUUUUCUAUAAUAUACCUAAUGGCCGUUGAUACAUUUUUUUAGAGUAGGGUCAAAUAUUACAGUUUUAUACUGAGUAUAUAUUUUAUUUCCUAAAUCAUCUGGUAAUUUUGUAAAUAAUUUUUCUAUUAUUCCUUCAUCAUAGAAACAUCCUGCUAUGCAUGAAUAAUAUAGAUAAUCCUGUAGGAAAGGUUUAAUGUAUUUUCAAUUUCUAAUUGAUAAUUGUUCUAGCUUUCUGAUUGAUUCUAUUUGUGCCAUUGUUCCUCCUCUAUUUGGGCUUUGUGCUAAAAGUAUUUCUUGUACUCUAUUAACAAAAUUCAUUGGAUUUAGCCCAUGUGCCAUAUCUUGUUGUAAUCUAUCUGGAAAUUUUUGUUUAAAGGCUUCCCAUGCUGCUGAUGCUACUCCUCCUAAAUGUGUUUCUAAAUAAGCAUACAUUUCAUUCACAUUAUGUUCAAAACCUUUUUGUAUAUAAUUUCUAACUACUUUUGCUUUCCAAUCUCCUAUUACAUCAUCUAUAAGUUGAGGGUCAUAAGAUGUUAACAUUAGAGUUUUACCUUUAUCUACCGUGUUAGCUUUUACUAUUUCUUCUAAUGGUUUUCUUUUUCCUUUAGAUUUAUAAGUUUCUACCGGUUCCCUAUAUUCAUUGUACAUUAAUCUAGGUAUUUGUCCUGGAUCAUAUCUUCCUAGGCUUCCUUCUGGUCUAUUGGUACUACGAGAUGGUUGUUGGAAUUGUUUUUGUUGGUUUUGGUUACUACUUUCUGUUUCCAUCAAAUCUUUAUAUGAUCCUAUACUAAUAGUGUCUUCUUCUAUUAGUUCUUUUUCUAUUCUUACCCUUAUAUUUCCUAAAUUAUCAUAAUAUAUUUCUUCAUUUAUUUCUAUUUGUCCGUCCAUUUCUAAUUUUCUUUCUAAUGCAAAUAAUGUUUUAUUAUCUAAGACCAUAUUUAAUUCUUUAGGAUAUAUUAUUCUAUUUUCAUUUUCUAUUUCAAAUUCUACUAACUUUUGUUCUUCUAUAGUAAACUCCAUAAGAUCCUGUUCUAUUUUUUCUUCUUCUAUUUCAUUAUCACUCUUAUAAUUUCCUAUAUUUGUUUGUUCAUAAUUAUGAAAUCUAAUACUAGUUCCUCCUUCUCUAUUUUCAUACAUUAUAUUAUCUUUAGGUACUAUAGGUGUCCUUCUUUCUAUAAAUUUACUAAGGUUCGAUUCUUCUCCUGCUAAUAUAGUUGGGUCUAUUUCUAUUGGUUUUAUUAAUUGUAUUCCUUUACUGUGCAUUGCUUCUAUUAUUGAUUCUACAUUAAUCCUAUAAUUAGUGCUACUCCCUGUAGUAGUUCUUCCUAUAAAUCCUAUAUUUAUCAUUAUAUUAUUUCCUACAAAUUCUCCGUAUCCUUUAGUUGUAUUGCUACUUCUAUUUUAUUUAAAUCUUCUACGAUUAAUUGAAAAUCUGGUGUACAGUAAAAUAUUCCCCUGUUAUUUGUCAUAUCUACUUCUAUGGUUGCUAUUAAUGCUUUCUUAACAUUAUUCCAUCCUUUAUCUAAUAAUGUUAUUAAUACUUUAGUUCCUAAUCCUGGUCUAGUUAAUCCUUUUAAUCCUAUUACUAUUAACCCUAAAUGCCGAGUUCAAUGAUUCAACUUUCAAAAAACUAGCAUUCUCUCCUCAUUUCUCUCUCUUUCUGCAAAUAUUUAUUAGGGUUUGUAAUUCUUGCAUGGCUGCCCUUCAGCCAUCGGCUGAGGGGCAAGGAUCUCCUACAGGAAAAAAAACUUUCUCCCAACUUUUCUCACAGCCUUCAACAUCUCCUAUCCAAAUUCGACAGGCAACUGUUUACAAAGGUGAAGCUGCGGUCAUCUUCUCGAGAGCAGAUGUGGAAAAACUAGCAGUGCCGUUUCGAUGGGCUUUGGUUGGAAAAUUUUCUCAUGGGAGACCUUCGUUGGAGGAUAUUCGCAAGUUCUUUGCUUCUUUAAAUCUAAAAGACCACAUCUCCAUUGGAUUGAUGGAUUAUAGACAUGUCCUGAUUAAGUGCUCUGCUGAAGUAGAUUUUAACAGGAUUAGGACAAGAGGGAUUUGGCAAUUGGGCAAUUAUCCGAUGCGGGUAUUUCGCUGGACCAGGGAGUUUCAUGUGCAAAGAGAGUCAUCUCUGGUUCCGAUUUGGGUGGAGCUUCCAAAUUUACCCAUUCAUUAUUUCGAUAAACACUCUUUGUUCUCCAUAUUAUCUCCAGUAGGAAGACCAUUGUUCCUGGAUUCGGCAACGGCUGCUGGGACACGUCCUAGUGUGGCCAGGGUGUGCGUGGAGAUCGAUGUAGCGAAGAUUGUUGUGCCAAGGAUAUUGGUAGCUGUUGAAGGAGAAUCAGGAUUUUGGCAAAAAAUUGUUCCAGACAACAUCCCGCCAUAUUGUUCAUCUUGCUGGAGAUUGGGUCAUUCGUCUAGCAACUGCAAGAAUAACGUUUCCAAGGGAGAACUUCAAUACCACAAUCAUCAAACCAACCGGCUGCAGCAAGGUCCUAAGAUACUUGGGGACAAUCAGUAUGGGUUAGUUAUUACACCUACGGGCAACCCAAAAGCUGAAGGGAAAUCAACAAUGGAGGUUACGACAUCGACUGAAGAUGCGCGACCUGGUGCUGUUGCAGUCCAAGGAGCUUCCACAUCUGAAAUGGAGAAAUCUGUUGGACCUGAUCGGAUAGCUGAGAAACAGAAUACAACUCCUCCACAAGAUGAUAAGCUCAACUGCAUUACUGCCCAAGCUCAAGCUGCCGAAGCUUCCGCUGCUGAUGCAAAUGGACAGUCGGUGGUUGAUGAUGACAGGGAGGGACCAUUGCACAACGUUCAAACGACAAUUGCAGGCCAAGACCAUGCACAUAAUUGUGAAGGGUCCCAUAAUCUAGUGGAGCAAAUCUUGGGAGAUGUUCAACAACAAAUGGCCGACACUACCACAUUGAUUAAUCAUAAUGCCGACAAUCAUAGUUGGAACAAAGGUGAAGGGUCCCAACCUGUUGAGGAGAAGCACUUGGGAGGUGAACAUCUUCAACAGUCCGACACCACUGAGCUUGAAACUCUUUAUGUCGACUUGUGUGGGGUCGAGGAGGAAGAUUCCAAAUCCGAUGCGGUUGAUGAAGCAGCUUUGCCAACUACAGCAGGGAAUUUAUCUCCAAGAUUAGUUGAAACAAGUGAGAGGUCAGUGGAGCCAUCAAUUAACACUUUAAACAUUGACCAAUCUGUAGCUAUGGAGAGGGAUUGCCGACAAGAAAAGGUUAAAGGUGUGCGAGCUUACUUCCCAUCCGACAGACAGCUACGUUCGACAACAUCAUCCCAUAACUCAUUCCAGGUUUUUUCUCAUGAUUAGUGGAAUAUUUUGGAAUAUUAGAGGGGUAGCUAAGGCCCCUAAUCUACGAAGAUUGAUUAAAUUAGUUCGUACUCACCAUGUUCAGUUUGUCGUGAUUUGUGAACCAAAGUUAGACGAGUCCAAAAUUGAGUCCAUUCGUCUACGAUUAUUAUUUGAUCAUACCUUUGUUAAUAACUCGGGUGAUAUUUGGGUAUUCUAUAGUAGUCCUUUUAUGUGUUCCAUUGUGGGUAGAUCGGAGCAGCAUAUUUCUAUACAUGUCCAAAGCCAAUUGCUUUCUUCUCCAAUCGUCAUGUCUUUUGUUCAUGCUAAAUGCUCAGUGCAGGAGCGCCGUGUCUUAUGGUAUACCUUAUUAAAUGAUAAGCCAAUUUCUCUUCCUUGGUGCAUUGGGGGUGAUUUUAAUGUUAUAUUAGCACCUCAUGAAAAACGAGGGGGACGUCCAUUUGCUAUAGCGGAGGGGAUGGAAUUCAUGUCUUUUAUGGAAGAGGCCAGAGUUUUUGACGUAGGAUUUUCAGGAGCUAGCUUCACAUGGUCUAACAAUCGGAGAGGAAGAGCUCGGGUUUCAAAGAGGUUGGAUAGGUUUUUAGUCAAUGGGGCUUGUUUGGAUCUCUCAAACGCAAUUUCUGUGCUUCACCUGGCAAGACAUCCUUCAGAUCAUGCACCGUUGAAAAUUUCAUUUAAGGAGAGAUCAGAUCAUACGCCACGGCCUUUCAGAUUUUUGAACGUCUGGACAACCAAAUCUGAACUCUUGGAGGUAAUUCGAUAUGCUUGGAAUCAAGAUGUGUCUGGUUCUCCAUUGCGUGUUUUGAGCUCUAAACUUUUGGCAACGAGGAGGGCUAUUCAAACUUGGAACAAGCAACACUUUGGGAAUGUAUUUGAUGCUGUUCGUUCUGCGGAAAUGGGGGUUCAACGCGCAGAGGAAGCUAUGGAUCAAUAUGCAUCGGAGGAAUGUCAGGUUGAGCUUAGCAAGGCUCAGGCGGAGUUGCGACAUGCAUUGUCAAUUGAAGAACAAUUUUGGAGCCAAAAAGCCAGGGUCAAAUGGCUUAAACACGGAGAUCGUAAUUCAAGGUAUUUUCAUGCGGUAGUAAGACAGAGACGGGCUCAAGGAAUGAUUCACCGCAUCAAAAAGUCAAACGGUGUUUGGGUGGACAAGAAUGAUGAUAUAGCAACUGAGGCAAUAACAUAUUUUUCUGACCUAUUCACGUGUUCUUUAGAGUCAUCUUCCGAUUUGCGGUACCUAAUUCCAUCCAUAAUCUCGGAAGAGGACAAUGAAAAAUUGGAAGAGGUUCCUUCGAUUGAAGAAGUCUAUCGAGUCGUGAGAUCAAUGGAUGGGGACAGUGCUGCUGGCCCAGAUGGUUUCACAGGUAAAUUUUUUACAUUUGCCUGGGAAGUUGUCGCCCAAGAUGUAUAUAAUGCAAUACUCAGUUUUUUCUGUGGGGCAGAGUUGCCUCGAUUCAUCACAUCUACCUCCAUUGUGUUAAUUCCGAAGAUGCCAAAUCCUCAGGAUUUUUCUCAAUAUAGGCCCAUCAGUCUGUGUAACUUCUUCAACAAAUUAUUAUCCAGGAUCUUAGCUGAUAGAAUUGCUUAUGUUCUGCCCAAAAUUAUUUCACCCCAGCAGACAGGCUUUGUGAAGGGGCGCAAUAUAACAGAUAACUUUCUGCUAGCUCAGGAGAUAGUUUCGGGUAUUGGGAAAAAGAAUAGAGGAGGCAAUGUGGUAAUGAAGCUUGACAUGUCUAAGGCUUAUGACCGGGUGGCAUGGGAUCAUAUUAUUGAUGUUCUCAGGAGAUUUGGCUUCGGAGAAAUAUUUAUUGAUUUAGUAUGGCGAUUGAUCUCUAAUGUCUGGUUUUCGGUCAUUUUAAAUGGGGCAUCUCAUGGUUUUUUUAAAUCUACGAGAGGCCUCCGUCAGGGUGAUCCUUUAUCGCCUGCUUUAUUCAUUAUAGGGGCUGAGGUGUUAUCUAGAGGACUGAAUAACCUUGCCAUGCAAUCGGGUUUUGUGGGAUUCAAAGUCCCGUAUGCAUGUCCUUCUAUAACUCAUUUGGCGUUUGCGGAUGAUGUUCUCAUAUUUGCAAACGGAUCCUCUUAUUCUCUAAAGGUUAUCAUGCAGGUGCUAGAGGCUUAUCAAAGGUGUUCGGGUCAGCUAAUAAAUGUGCUAAAAACUUGUUACCUGGUUCAUCCAUCUUUACCACCGGCAAGACGAAGGGUGAUUGAACGUAUCACCAAGUUUACCUGGCAACCAUUUCCAAUUCGGUAUUUGGGUUGCCCCCUUUACUUUGGGAGAUGCAAAUCAUCAUAUUUUGGAGAAGCGUGUCAGUCUAUUCUAGGGAGAAUUAUAUCAUUGAAAUCAAGGAUGCUUUCCUUUGGAGGUAAGAUAGUUCUAAUCAAACAUGUCUUGGCAUCGAUGCCAGUACAUCUGAUGUCGGCUGCGGUUAUCCCGAGUAAGGUAUUUAGAACUAUAGAAAAGGCUUUCUCGACCUUCAUAUGGAGCUCUUCACCCGAGGAGUCGAAAUUUCACUGGAUACGUUGGUCCCAUAUGUGCUAUCCGAUAGAUGAGGGAGGAGUUGGAUUUCGGAAGCUACAAGACAUCUAUACAGCUUUCUUAUUCAAACUUUGGUGGAAUUUUAGAAAGGGUUUGUCAUUGUGGGCUGAAUUUAUGAAAGCAAAAUACUGUAGACACCUUCAUCCUUGUCAGGUAGAAAUCAAGGCAAUGGACUCCGCACUCUGGCGCAGGAUGGUCAAUGUGAGUCGACAAGUGGAAUUCUCUACGCUAUGGAUUGUAAAAGACGGCGCUUGUCAUUUUUGGUACGACAAUUGGUUGGGGGGUGGUGCUUUGUUCCACCAAGCGACCGUUGUCCCACAUUUGUCUUUUGCUAAUUUCAUCAUCAAUGGACACUGGGAUGUGAAUUUGUUAUAUCAGAUAAUGCCGAGGGAAAUGGUGCCCUCUAUUUUAGAGCACCCGAUUCCAGAAGAAGGGGGUGAAUCUGAAGUCAUUUGGACGCUCACAACAUCUGGAAACUUCUCUAUAGCUUCGGCAUUUCGGGAUAUUAGGCAGGCCCGCAACAAGUCUAUGGUCUUUAAUACAAUUUGGCAUUCUCAGCUCCCUUUCAAAGAUUCAUUCUUCAUGUUACGAUUGUUGCUGGGGAGACUGCCGGUUCCAGAUCGGUUAUGUAAACUUGGUUUACAUUUACCCUCAAAGUGUUUUUGCUGUGCUUCGGCAUCUGAGGAAUCAAUUGAACAUUUAUUUUCUAAUGGCCAUAUAGGGUCGACAGUUUGGCACUAUUUUGGAGCUUCAUGUGGUUUGUCCUUUCCAGGGUCAUCUUUGAGGCCCCGUAUAGUGGGUUGGUGGCUCAGCUCAUAUGAUUCUGAAAUACAACGAUUUAUUGGGCACAUUCUACCCAGCAUUGUCUGUUGGCAGAUUUGGAAAGCAAGGAAUAAAGCAAUGUUUGAGGAUGUUCAGAUGAGGCCGCUUGCCAUUUGUCGUGCCAUUUUCUCGGAAAUCCAGACCAUGGUGGGAAUUCAUUUCAAACAAGUGUUCAGAGUACAGUCAUUUCAUCAUUUGUAUGAUUGGUCGUAUUCUUCUCAUAUUGAGGUUACAUACAAACUUGUUCGUUGGGAAGCAAAGGAAUCCGAUCGGUUCAUAUUAAAUACGGAUGGCUGUUCUAAGGGCAAUCCAGGAGUGAGUGGAGGCGGUGGGGUUCUUCGGGAUUCAAAUGGCAUACCUUUGAUUGGCUUUUCGGCAUAUCUUGGGGAAACUACAAGUCUAUGUGCAGAGGUUCGGGCACUCCUUAUUGGUCUUCAAACUUGUGUACAUAGGGGUUUUCAAAAUCUCUAUGUUCAAUCGGAUUCUUUAUUAUUAGUUGGAAUUCUUCAGAAUCGCAUUCAAUGCCCCUGGAAGAUUCGACGAGAGAUUAGGCAGAUUUGGCAGUUGGUGAAAGAUCCUGAUCGUUUUUCGCAUUGCUAUAGGGAAGCUAACAAAGUUGCUGAUGUGCUGUCCAAUGUGGGCGUAUUUCAUCCAGAGCAUCAAGUCAAGCUUUACGAGGCCUUUAAUUCGUUCCCAACUAUGGCUCGUGGGGCCAUUCGACUUGAUAGAUUAGGAAUGCCUUCAAUUCGGAAAAGUAAGCGUAUGAAGGGCUGAGAACAAAGGACAACUGGAGCUAAUAUGCGGUUGAAUGAGACAUGGAGGUUUUGUGUUUGAUUUAUUACCUUUUCAGUCGAUUGCUGUACUUCGAAUUGGUCUUUCUCAGUGUGUAAAAUUUGCUCCUAUCUAUAAAAUAAAAUAAUAUUUAAAAAAAAAAAACCCUAAAUGCAUAUAAUUAUGGUUUCUUUUGAUUUGUCUAAUACUUUCUCGGGUUACUAAUUUUAAAGUUUUAGCUUGUGUAGUUACUCUGACUGUUUCUUCUCUAUUAGUUCUAAAUAACCCAGUCCUAUUCCUUAUCCAUCCUGUUCUAUAUAAAGUUUGUGGUGCUAAUAAAUUUAUUUGUUGAUUUCUACAUAUUUCUAGAUCAAUAUUUACGUCUACUAGUUCUUCAAGAUGUAAAUUUCUACUAUUAGUACUUCUGAUUCUAUCUAAUAUAAAAAUAAUUAUAUUAAUAUGUAUAUUAUAUUUUAAUUAAAUAUAUAAAUUAUAUUAAUAGUAAUAUAUUUUAAACAAAAUAUUAAUAUUUAUGAUAUGUAUAUUAUAAUAUGUAUAUUAUAGCAUUUUAUUUAUAAAUAUUUAUAUAAUAAAUCUACUAGUUCUUCUAGAUGUAAAUUUCUACUAUUAGUACUUAUGAUUCUAUCUAAUAUAAAAAUAAUUAUAUUAAUAUGUAUAUUAAAUUUCAAUUAUAUAUAUAAAUUAUAUUAAUAUUAAUAUGUAUAUUAUAUAUAUUAUAUCAAUUGAAAUAAAUAUAUAUUUAUAUAUAUAAAUAUUAAUAUUUUGUUUAAAUCAUGUUUAUAUAUAUUUAUAAAUAUAUUUAUAAUAUACAUAUUAUAUAUUUAUUUGUUUAUAAUAUACAUAUUGUAACUGUUGUGCCAUCUUUUGAAAUAUCAAGAACAUUAUUAAAUAGGCGAGAUAAAAAUCUGCUAAAUUAUUAUUUUUACCUUUAAUGUGUUCAAAAACUACUUUGUACCCAUUACCUAUAAUGCUAUCUACAAAAUUUAACCAUCUUCUUGUAGAACUUCUUUUUUCAUUAUGUUUUUCAAAAAACUUUUUUAUUGCUUCACAGUAUGUUCUAAUAGUGAUUUCUGAAUUGCUAAGAAUAAAGAGUCUAAAAUUAUCUAGACUAUAUUUAAUUGCCAACAAUUCAUUAUCUAUGUUACUUCUAUUACCUUUUUCUUUAUAUUUGCCACUGGCAUAUCUACAAAUUUGUUUACUAUUCUUACUACUAUAUUUAUUGAGUUUUGCAAAAAGAACUGCUCCCCAUCCUAUACUACUCCCGUCACAUUCUAUUAUUAAAUAAUUUGUAUCUAAAGGUAAUCUUAAAUCUGUUAGUUUAUUUAUUGUUUGUUUAAUUUCCCUAACUAAUUUUAUGUCUUCCUUGUUAAAAAACUUUUGUUCUUUUAAAGAUAUUUUGUUAUAUAAUGGUCCUACUAAAUUGUUUAAAUUCUUAAUAAAAGGUCUUGCAUAAUUUAAUAAUCCUAAAAAUUGUUGUAGUUUCUUUGUUUCUUCUAUUUUAUCUGGAAAUUCUAAUACUUUUUUACUAAUAUGUGGUUUAAUUUUAUUUUUCCUUGUACUAUUUCUAUUCCUAAAAAUUAUAUAUUUUUUCUAAAAAAAUGUGCCUUUUUAUUACUAAUUAUUAUUCCAUAUUUAAUAAAUUCUGCAAAGACUAAUUUUAAGUGUCCUAUAUGUUCCUCUUUAUUUCUGGAGAAGACUAAAAUAUCGUCUAUAUAUAUUAUGACAAAAUCUUUAUAUUUAUUAAAAAUAUUAUCCAUUUUUUUUUGAAAUAUUGUCGGUGCAUUUUUUAAUCCAAAGGGCAUUACUAACCAUUCAAAAUGUCCUAAAGGACAUGUAAAGGCUGUCCAUUCUAUACUAUCUAUAUUCAUUCUGACUUGCCAAAAUCCUGAUUUACAAUCGAAUUUACUAAAAAUAUAUCGAUAUUGAAUUCUAUUUAUUAGUUCAUUUUUAGCUGGUAUGUCAUAACUAUCUUCUUUAGUAUUAUCAUUUAGUCUUUUAUAAUUAAUUACCAUUCUACUUUUUCACCUGACUACUUCACUAUAUUUUCUAAUUAUGAAUGCUGCACUUCUAUGUGGACUGGUACUUCUUCUGAUUAUUUUUAGCUCAUUUAGAUCUCCUAUAUGCAUUUCAAAUUCUUUAAUGUCUUCAUUACUAGCUUCUAUUUUUGAUGUACUUAUUUUUAGAUUUGGAUUUAAAAUUUCUAAUUUACAUUCUGUUUUAUCUCUGUCCCAAUAAAUAGUUGGAUUUUCUCCAAAAAUUUCUAAUUUUUCUAGCUUGCUUAUUAAUUGAUCUAUAUCUGUAUGUCCUGUUUCUAACAUGUUAUAAAUUUUUUCAUUUUCUAAGAGAUCUAAACUAAUUUCUAUUUCAUUAAAUUCUUCUAUUUUUUCUAUAGUUUCUAUGUGAUUAUAUUCUUCUAUCUUUUCUAUAGUUUCUAUGUGAUUACAUUUGCAAUUUUUUGUAUUACAGUCUUUUUCUGUAUUUUUAUUGUUUCUUAGGAUUCCUAAUGCUUUUUUCUUUUCUUUAUUUGAAAAACUAUUAGAGAAAUCCUUCUUUCGUACUUCUGAUGUAAUGAAUGUGUUAUAAGGUAAAGCAUGGUCUCUUAAAAAUGUUAAUCCUGUUCUUGUAAGAACCAUGCCAUGAUAUGAUUGUAAUAUGAAUGCUAACCCUAAAAUCAUUUGAUAUGGAAAUUUUCUAACAUAUAUUUCUUCUACUGGAUAAGAUGUUGUGCAAUGGUUAUUAUCAAUUUCAAAAAAUAGAAUACUAUUGUGAAUUGCAGUGUCAUAAGUAUAAGUACUACCAUCAAUUUGUCUUGCUAUUCUAAUAUUAUAUGCUUUUUCAUAAUACUUUUCUGGUAUUAGGUCUUGUUGAAUUAUUAUAUAACUAGGUCCUGUAUCUACUAUUGCUAAUACUUCUGUAUCAAAAUUUCCUAUUAUUAUUCUUGUUCUUAUUUCUAUGGAAGUUAUUGUUGGCAUUGCUUGUUGUAUUAAUUCAUAAUUAUGUUUUAUUAAUUCUGUUUCUAGGAGAAUUUCUAUAUCUAUAUUUUCUAUAGAUAUUUCUUUUUCUAUUGAUUUUCCUUUAUCUAAUUUUUCUAUUUUUUUUGUUCUAAUUGUUCUACCUUAUUUUCUAAAUUUCUUAUUCUUCUUUCUAAAUAAUGUUCCAAAGACAUAGUUUCUUCAACUUUAUCUUUUUUGAUUGGUUCUAUUAACACAUAUGUUUGUGCCAAUUUGUCUAGACAAAAUUUAAUAUAACUAAUAUUGGAAUCUUAAUUCUAUUGCUGGAUAUUUAUUACAAUUAUAACAAGUUCUACUAUAGUUACCUUUUCUAUGUUCCCAUUUAUGAAUACAUUCUACUUCUACCAAAUCUAAGUCUUCUAAUUUUUUAAAAUCUCCUUUCAUUUCUUCUAAGUAUAUGUUAUCCAUGAUCAUUUUAUUUUCUGAUUUUUCUAGCAUUUCAUCUAUAAAUCCUGUAUCUUCUUGUUCUACGAAAUCUGUUAAAUCUAAAUCUUCUGAUAUUAUACCAUAAAUGCUUUCUAUUUCUAAUAUAUUAUCAUCUAUUUUUAUUAGAUCUUCUGAAAAUAAUUCUACUAAAUGAGCUUCUCUGUUAAAAGAAUUAUGUUUAUUUGGACAAUUGGUUGCUAAGUGAUUGGGUUGUUUGCAAAUAAAACAAGAUAACAUAUUUUCAUAAGUUCGUUCUAGUCUGUAUCUUCUAACAUGAUGUUCCUUUUUUUAGAAAUGGUUUUCUAGCCUUACUUUUUCUAAGAUAAUAUUGUUUUCUAGGAUAUUUUUUUUAUGUUUUUUAAAUUUUCUUUUUUCUUUAUCUCUUUCUCCAUACUUUUGUGGUGUGUAUAUUUCUGAACAAAGACUAUAUUUUCCUUUUAAUUGUCUUUGUAUUUUUAUAAAUGUGCAUUCUUCUACUAAUCUAUUCAUAAUAAAUUUGACUGCUGUGCUUACAUUUUUUAAUGUUGGUUCCAUAGGUGUUGCUUUAUAUAAAGUAUAUAUUUUUUUUCCUAAAUCAUCUGGUAAUUUUGCAAAUAAUUUUUCUAUAAUACCUUCAUCAUAAAAACAUCCUGCUAAACAGCUGUAAUAUAGGAAAUCUUGUAAAAAUGGUUUAAUAUAUUUCCAAUUUCUGAUUGAUAAUUGUUCUAAUUUUCUUAUCGAUUCUAUUUGCAUCAUAACUUCUCCUCUAUUUGGAAUUGUUGCUAAAAGAAUUUCUUCUAUUCUAUUAACAAAAUUCAUAGGAUUAACUCCAUGUGCCUGGUCUUGUUGUAAUCUAUCUGGAAAUUUUUGUUUAAAUGCUUUCCAUGCUAAUCUUGCUACUCCUCCUAAGAAUGUUUCUAAGUAGGUAUACAUUGCUGUUACACUAUGGUCAAAUCCUUUUUGUAUAUAAUUUCUAACUACUCUUACUUUCCAACUACCUAUUACAUCUUCUAUCAUUUGUGGGUCAUAAGAUGUUAACAUUAAAGUUUUUCCUUCAUCUACUGAAUUUUCUUUUAUUUCUAAUUCUAAUGGUCUUCUUUUACCUUUAGAAAUAUAUUUUUCUUCUGGUUCUCUGUAUUCAUUAUAAAUUAUUCUAGGUGGUUGUCCUGGUUCGUAUGUUCUAACAUUUCCUUCUUGGCUAGGGUCAGUCUGCAUAUCUGUUGGUUGAUUACUUCCACUAUUUUGUUGUUGUUGAUCUCUAUCCAUUAAUUCUCUAUAUGAUGUUAUACUAGCUGUUUCUAUAUUAUCUUCUAGGUUUUCUUCUGUUUUGACUCUAAUGUUUCCUAUGUCAUCAUAAUAUAAAAUUUCAUCUAAUACUAUUUGUCCCUCUGAUUUUAAUUUUCUUUCUAAAUCAAAUAAAUCUUUUUUGGUUAAAAUCAUAUUUAAUUCUGCUGGAUAAAUAAUUCUAUAUUCUAAUUCUACUUCUUCUUCUAUUAAAUUUAUUUCUAUAAGAUCUGAUUCUAUAUCAAAUUUAUCUAAUUCCUCAUUAUCUGUUCCUAAAGAUGUUGAUUCAUAAUUAUAAAAUCUUAGACUUGUUUUUCCUUGACUAUUUUUGUAUAUUAUGCUAUCCCUAGGUAUCAUUGGAUUAUUUUCUUCUAUGAAUUUGCUAAUUUCCCAUUCUUCUCCUGCCAAGUUUUCUGAACUAAUUUCUAUUGGUUUUAUUAAUUUUAUUCCUUUACUGGCCAUAGCUUCUACUAUUGGUUUAAUUUCGACCUUGUAUCUAGUCUUACUACUAUUUGUUAAUCUUCCUAUAAAUCCUGUACUAAUUGUUAAAUUAUCUCCUUGAAAAUUUUCAUACCCUUUAGUUUGUAUUCCUAUUUCUAAAUUUUUAAUAUCUUCUAAGGUUAUCAUAAAAUCUGGACUGCAAUAAAAUAUACCCCCGUUUUGAUUCAUAUCUACUUCAAUACUGGCUAUUAAUGCAUCUUCUACUUUUUUAUGUCUUUUAUCUAAUACUGCUAAAAGCACCUUUUUCCCUAAUCCUUUUCUUGUUAACCCUUUUAUUCCUAUAACUAUUAGUCCUAUAUGCAUAUAUGUAUAUUGUCUUCUGAUUUGAUUUAUGCUUUGCUGUGUUAUUAUUCUAAGAUUUACUAGAUUUAUUAAUGCACUUACUGGUUCUUCUCUAUUUUGUCUAAAUAAUCAUGUAUUACUUCUAAGAAAUCCUAUUGAGUAUAAAGUUCCGGGGUUUAAUAAACUUAUUUCAUUAUUUCUAUAUAUUUCUAAAUCUCUUUCUAUAUCCAUUGUUUCUUCUAAAUGCAUACUUCUAUUUCUUCUUAAUUGUCUUCCUAUAGUUAAUACACUAGUCUCUACUUGUGUACUUUCAUUAACCGUCCUACUGGGUCCUGUGAAUGAUCUUCUACUUGUCAUUUUAAAAUUUUUGUGGUUUAGUAUUUACUGAGAAUACAUUACUAAGAUGUGGCUUGCUUUCUUUCUUUGUUAUUGGUAGUCUUUUAAACUGAUCCGUAAUCUCUUCUAGGUCUUUUUCAAAUUCAUCUAUCUGCAAAACUCUAACUUUUUCUGUUACUGCAUCUAUUUUCUUAUGUAAUGAUACUAACAAAGCUAUUAUCACGUUAUUUUGUAAACCCCAAACCACAAAAAUUUUAAAAUGACAAGUAGAAUAUCAUUUACAGGACCCAGUAGAAUAGUUAAUGAAAAUACACAAAUAGGAACUAAUGUAUUAAACAUAGGAAGACAGUUAAGAAGAAAUAGGAGCAUACAUUUAGAAGAGGCAAUAGAUAUAGAAAGAGAUUUAGAAAUAUACAGAAAUAAUGAAAUAAAUUUAUUAAAUCUGAGAACUUUAUAUUCAGUAGGAUUUCUUAGAAGUAAUACAGGAUUAUUUAGACAAACUAGAGAAGAACCAGUAAGUGCAUUAACAAAUCCAGUAAAUCUAAGAAUAAUAACACAGCAAAGUAUAAAUCAAAUCAGAAGACAAUAUACAUAUAUGCAUAUAGGGUUAAUAGUUAUAGGAAUAAAGGGCUUAACAAGAAAAGGAUUAGGAAAAAAAGUAUUAUUAGCAAUAUUAGAUAAAAGACAUAAAACAGUAGAAGAUGCAUUAAUAGCCAGUAUAGAAGUAGAUAUGAACCAAAAUGAAAGAAUAUUUUAUUGUAGUCCAGAUUUUAUGGUAACCUUAGAAGAUAUUAAAAAUUUAGAAAUAGGCAUACAAACUAAAGGAUAUGAAAAUUUUCAAGGAGAUAAUUUAACAAUAAGCAUAGGAUUUAUAGGAAGAUUAACAAAUAGCAGUAAAACCAGAUACAAGGUAGAUAUCAAACCAAUAGUAGAGGCUAUGGCUAGUAAGGGAAUAAAAUUAAUAAAACCAAUAGAAGUAAGUUCAGAAAAUUUGGCAAGAGAAGAAUGGGAAAUUAGUAAAUUUAUAGAAGAAAAUAAUCCAAUCAUACCAAAAGAAAGUAUAAUAUAUAAAAAUAGUGAAGGAAAAACAAGUCUUAGGUUCUAUAAUUAUGAAUCAACAUCUUUAGGAACAGAAAAUAAAAAAGUAGAAAGAUCAGAUACAGAAUUAGAUCUAGUAGAAAUAAAUUUGAUAGAAGAAGAACUUGUAGAACUAGAACAUAAAAUUAUUUAUCCAGCAGAAUUAAAUAUGAUUUUAACAUAAAUAGAAUUAUUUGAUUUAGAAAGAAAAUUAGAAUCAAACGGACAAAUAGCUUUAGAUGAAAUUUUAUAUUAUGAUUAUAUAGGAAAUAUUAGAGUUAAAAAAGAAAAAGAUGAUAUUGAAACAGUUAGUAUAACAUCAUAUAGAGAAUUAAUGGAACAAAGCAGUCGAAGCAGCCAACCAACAAAUAUGCAAACUGACACUAGCCAAGAAGUGAAUGUUAGAACAUAUGAACCAGGACAACCACCUAGAAUAAUAUAUAAUGAAUAUAGAGAACCAGAAGAAAAAUAUAACCCUAGAGGAAAAAGAAGACCAUUAGAAUUAGAAAUAAAAGAAAAUUCAGUAGAUGAAGGAAAGACUUUAAUGUUCACAUCCUAUGACCCCCAAAUGAUAGAAGAUGUAAUAGGUAGCUGGAAAGUACGAGUAGUUAGGAAUUAUAUACAAAAAGGGUUUGAUCAUAAUGUAACAGAAAUGUAUACGUAUUUAGAAACAUUUCUAGGAGGAGUAGCAAGAGCAGCUUGGGAAGCAUUUAAACAAAAAUUUCUAGAUAGAUUACAACAAGACCAGGCGCAUGGAUUAAAUCCCAUGAAUUUUGUUAAUAGAGUAGAAGAAAUUCUUUUAGCAACAAAUCCAAAUAGAGGAGGAGUUCUGACACAAAUAGAAUCAAUAAAAAAAAUAGAAUAAUUAUCUAUUAGAAAUUGGAAAUAUAUUAAACCAUUUUUACAAGAUUUCUUAUAUCAUAGCUGUUUAGCAGGAUGUUUUUAUGAUGCAGGAAUUAUAGAAAAAUUAUUUGCUAAAUUACCAGACGAUCUAGGAAAGAAAAUAUAUACUUUAUAUAAAGCAACACCUAUGGAACCAACAUUAAAAAAUGUAAGUACAGCUGUAAGAUUCAUAAUUAAUAGGUUAGUACAGGAAUAUACAUUUAUUAAAAUACAAAAACAAUUAAAAGGAGAAUAUAGUUUUCGUUCAGAAAUAUAUACACCACAAAAAUAUGGAGAAAGAGAAAAAGAAAAAAGAAAAUAUAGAAAACCUUAUAAAAAUUAUAAAAAGUACCCAGAAAACAGUAUUAUCUUAGGAAGAGCAAAGCUAGAAAACCAUUUCUUAAAAAGGAACAUCAUGUUAGAAGAUAUAGACCAGAACGUACCUAUGGGAAUAGAUUAUCUUGUUUUAUUUGUAAACAACCUAAUCAUUUAGCAACUAAUUGCCCAAAUAAACAUAAUUCUUUUAACAGAGAAGCUCAUUUAGUAGAAUUAUUUUCAGAAGAUCUAAUAGAAAUGGAUGACAAUAUAUUAGAAACAGAAAGCAUUUAUAGUAUAGUAUCAGAGGACAUAGAUUUAACAGAUUUUAUAGAACAAGAAGAUACAGGAUUUAUAAAUGAAAUCUUAGAAAAAUCGGAAAAUAGAACUAUUAUGGAUAACAUAUACCUAGAAGAAAUAAAAUAAGAUUUUAAAAAAUUAGACAAUUUAGAUUUAGUAGAAGUAGAAUGUACCCAUAAAUGGGAACAUAGAAAAGGUAAUUAUAGUAAAGCUUGUUAUAAUUUUAAUAGAUACCCAGCAACAGAAUUAAGAUUCCAGUGUUAAUUAUGUUAUACAGAAGGAUGUAAAUUUUGCCUAGAUAAAUUAGCACAAAUAUACGUUUUAUUAGAGCCAGUUAAAAAGGAUAAAACUGAAAAUAUUGUGCCCUUAAAACAUUACCUAGAAAGAUGAAUAAGAAUUUUAGAAAAUCAAAUAGAACAAUUAGAGCAAAAAAUAGAAAAAUUUGAUAAAGGAAAAUCAAUAGAAAGGGAUGUAUAUAUAGAAAAUGUUGAUAUAGAAAUUUUUCCAGAAUUAAUAAGACAUAAUUAUGAUUUUGAAUUAUUACAAGCAGGAAUACCAACAGUAACUUCCAUUGAAAUAAAAACUAGAAUAAUAAUAGGAAAUUUUGAUACAGAAGUUUUAGCAAUAGUAGAUAUAGGAGCAAGUGAUAUAGUUAUCCAACAAGAACUAAUACCAGAAAAAUAUUAUGAAAAAGCAUAUAAUAUUAGAAUUGCAAGACAAAUGGAUGGUAGUACUUAUACCUAUGACACUGCAAUUCAUAAUAGUCUCUUAUUUUUUGAAAUAGAUAAUAAUCACCGCACACCACCUUAUCCAGUAGAAGAAAUAUAUGUUAGAAAUUUUCUUUAUCAAAUGAUUUUAGGACUAGCUUUUAUACUACAAUCAUAUCAUGGCAUGAUUAUUACAAGGACAGGGUUAACAUUCUUAAGAGACCAUACUUUACCUUAUAACACGUUCAUUACACCAGGAAUACGGAAAGAAAAUAAAAAUAUAGAAAAUCAUAAUUGUAAAUAUAAAAGAGCAAAAGAUUGCAAAUGUAACCACAUAGAAACUAUAGAAGAAAUAGAAGAAUUUAAUAAUAUAGAAACUAUAGAUAGCAUAGGAGAAGAUUUUAAUGAAAUAGAAAUAAGUUUAGACCUUUUACAAAAUGAGAAAAUCUAUAAUAUGUUAGAAACAGGACACACAGAUAUAGACCAAUUAAUAAGUAAGUUAGAAAAACUAGAAAUUUUUGGAGAAAACCCAACUAUUCAUUGGGAAAAAGAUAAAACAGAAUGUAAGUUAGAAAUUUUAAACCCAAAUUUAAAAAUUAGUACAACAAAAAUAGAAGCUAGUAAUGAAGACAUAAAAGAAUUUGAAAUGCAUAUAGGAGAUUUAAAUAAAUUAAAAAUAAUCAGAAGAAGUACCAGUCCACAUAGAAGUGCAGCAUUCAUAGUUAGAAAACAUAGUGAAAUAGUCAGAAAAAAAAGUAGAAUGGUAAUAAAUUAUAAAAGGUUAAAUGAUAAUACUAAAGAGGAUAGUUAUGACAUACCAGAUAAAAAUGAGCUAAUAAAUAGAAUUCAGUAUAGAUAUAUUUUUAACAAAUUUGAUUGUAAAUCAGGAUUUUGGCAAGUAAAAAUGUACACAGAUAGUAUAGAAUGGACAGGUUUUACAUGCUCUUUAGGACAUUUUGAAUGGUUAGUAAUGCCUUUCGGACUAAAAAAUGCACUGGCAAUAUUUCAAAGAAAAAUGGAUAAUAUUUUUAACAAAUAUAAAGAAUUCGUCAUAGUAUACAUAGAUGAUAUAUUAGUAUUUUAAAAAAAAUAAAGAAGAACAUGUUGGACACUAAAGUUAGUUUUCGCAGAAUUUAUUAGACAUGCAAUAAUAAUUAGUAAUAAAAAGGCACAAUUUUUUAGGAAAAAUAUAGAAUUUUUAGGAACAGAAAUAGGACAAGGAAAAAUAAAAUUACAACCACAUAUUUGUAAAAAGUUAUUAGAAUUUCCAGAUAAAAUAGAAGAAACAAAGAAAUUACAACAAUUUUUAGGACUACUAAACUAUGCCAGACCUUUUAUAAAAAAUUUAAAUAAUUUAGUUGCACCAUUAUACGACAAAACAUCUUUAAAAGGACAAAAAAUUUUUAAUAAAGAAGAUAUAAAAUCAGUCCAAGCAAUAAAACAAAUAGUAAGUAAACUAACAGAUUUAAAAUUACCUUUAGAUACAGAUUAUUUAAUAAUUGAAUGUGAUGGCAGUAGUAUAGGAUGGGGAGCAGUUUUUUUUGCGAAACCAAAUAAAUAUAGUAGCAAAAAUAGUGAACAAAUUUGUAGAUAUGCCAGUGGCAAAUAUAAGGAAAAAGGUAACAGAAGCAGCAUAGACAAUGAAUUGUUAACAGUAAAAUAUAGUUUAGACAACUUUAGACUUUUUAUACUUAACAAACCAGAAAUUACUAUUAGAACAGACUGCGAGGCAAUAAAAAAGUUUUUUGAUAAACACAAUGAAAAAAGAAGUUCUACUAGAAGAUGGUUAAAUUUUGUAGACAGUAUCAUAGGUAAUGGAUAUAAGGUUAAGUUCGAACAUAUUAAGGGUAAAGAUAAUAACUCAGCAGAUUUUUUAUCCCGUCAAUUUAACAAUUCUUUUGAUCUUUUAGCAGAUGGCACGACAGCUACCCAAAGUACAAAUUGGCCAAUGGGAAUUUAACAAGUAUCCUAAAGGAUCCAAUUUACAUUUUUUUAGCUGUGAGAAAGGUAAUUUAGAAGAAAUCCAGCAGGAUAUCUUAGAUAACCUCGGGAAUAGUAGAAGUAAUUCUGAUAGAAUUAAAAAUUUAAAUAUUUUAGCAUUUCAUUUCAGUAAUCUACCAAAACAAAGUUUUUCAUAUUAUGCAGUAGUUCGGGGUAAAAUACCUGGAAUUUAUUCCAAAUGGAUUUCAGUAGUAGAACAAAUUAAAGAUUUUCAAAAUCCUUUGUGGAAAGCUUUUCAUAGCAUCCAUGAAACCUUGGAUUUUGCUAGAAAAAAUAUUAGCAUCAGUUUUCAUGUAGAUAGCAAAGCUAGUAUGGAUAGCAUGAGGGUGCCAAUGCAAUCUUGUACAGAAGCCCCUAGUAGCAGAAAUAGUGGUAGAUGUUAUUCUGAUUCAAUAGCAUAUGAUAAUACUCAUAGCAUUCAAUUUUGUAGACAUUGUAAGGUUAUGGAAGAAGCAAUUAGAAUCUUAAAUAUUAAAUCUAGAAAUCUAGAAGAAGAAAAUAAAAUUUUAAAAGAAAAAGCACAUUCUCUGACAGGGCAGCUCAAACAAAUGUGUAAAACAUCUGGAUCACAAAGUGAUACAAUAAUUUCACAAAUUUCUGAAAUAGGGGAGCUACAAGAAAGAUUGUCUCAUACAAUAUCACAAAUGGCCAGUUCUUCAUCCGGCCCAGUAAAAGAGAUUUUUAUAAAAGAACAACCCAUCUCAAAUAGACCCUUUGAGUUUCUUAAGCCCAGAAUAUUUUUUAGGCCUUACUCUUUAUUAGAACCUUUCCCUUUAUCAAUCAUAGAAAUUAUCAGCCAUAAAGUGCAAGCCUAGCACUUAGCAAAAUUAGCAACAGUACAAAAACACUUCAAAGAAAUAGCAACCAAACCCAAUACCAACUACAGCCUUAACAUAAGUCCAUCUUACUGGAUCAACCCACAUAAAAAAUGUCCAAAUAAUCCAGGACCUUGUGAUCACCAAAAAUACAGAAACUAUUGUGUACAUACACUUGACUUUCUCAUACUCAGAGCAUCCAUUAAACUACACAGAUAUACUCCAGUAGCCCUUAUGGUCAAUCAAGAAAGAAUAGUUCUUACACCAUAGUUCUUAAUGGAUUGUGGAUUCUUAAAAGAAUUUUGGAUUUCUGAUCCGAAUGACUCAUAUCAGCUAGGAACAAGUUUAGCAUAUUUUUGUAGACAAAUGCUAAAUUAUGGACAAUGGGUUCAAAUAAAAAUUAAGUCAGCACCAGCAGAAUGGAUUGGACUCAUUGAUUUAGAACCAACAAUUCAUAAAAUAAAGAUUCAAAUUAGUAAUGUUUAUCCAACUCCACCAGCAGCAGCAAGGAUAAUAAUAGCAGAAUGUCCUUUAGCACUAGAAGAACAACUCCGGAAUUCAAAGGCUAUGCACUUAGCCUAUAGACAUUUUAAAUCCGGAUGGUCAUAUUUCAGAUUGGCAGCAGAAAACAAAAUUCAGAAGAUCUAAACUCCCUACCGAUAUAAUCUGGAAAAAGACUUUAUAGUUCAAACAACUUAUCCAGAACUAUUCCAGCAGUACUUAAAUGAUUAUAUGGAAGAAAGAGCUCAGCCGGAAGAAAUUGAAAAAGAAGACAACGAUCAUUAUUGGCAAACAAUGGGACCAGAAGAACUCCACAACAUCGAAAAUAUGAUGGAAGGAUAAUAGGACCUAAACACAUUAUUGUACAUACCUUACAAUUGAAAGCACUGAAAAGAUGCCGGUCUCAUAAAUUUUGGCCAUUGUCAGCCAUAUAGCCUUUAGCUUUUUGAAAAUUUUGGCCAUUAUCGGCCAUAUAGCUUUUUGACACAGUAUUUUAAAAAUUUAGGCCACUGUCGGCCUCAUAGACCAGACACCGAAUUCCAACCAAGUUGAAAUUCGUAAAAAUAAUUUGGAAACACAAGUCCGGAUUUCAAAUCCGAACAACAAGCCUAUAAAAGCACCAUUCUCAAACCAUUGUUGGGCACGAUGCUUUCAUAACUUGUAAAUUACAAAGCAUUCCAUAUAUUCAACUCUAAACACUUUUGUAAGUUUAAUCUUUCUAGUCAUCUUAUUAUUGAGAGGAAAGGGAAACAUAGAAUAGAAAUUAGUACAGUCUACCCUAGAUUUAAUCCAAAUAACCGGAAACUUUGAGAGAGAUACCCUAUUUUGGAGUCUUAAAAGUCCAAAAGACGGUGUAGUACCCAUCAUAGCCGUGCGGUCAAGAAUACUGCAAGGCGUAAGGGGAAGAUCUGAUGAGGGAAACCUCCAAAAACAGGAUUCCAACUCUCAUAGUAUCAGAAGGAAACUUUGGAAUAAAAUCAAGGAAGGUAUAAUUUCUGUAACUUCUAUCAAGUACCGAGUACUCAUAUAAUUUUAAAACUCAUAUACUUUAUAAUUUCUGCAUAUAAACUCUGUAUGAAUUUUGAACUACCUUUUCAGCUCACAACUACUCAAGAAAAUUUAUAUAGAAUAGCAUUAGCAACUCUUAAACAAUCAGAUACAUAUUAUUAUUUUGAUAAAUUUUUAGAAGAUCUAGAAACGUCAGAUCAGUGUUUAGCAUAUAUACAAAUAGAAGAAUCUAGAUUAGUAAAAGUAACACACCACCAUCCCGUAUCCUUUUUCAGAAAUAUUAGACAAGCAAAAGUAGAUUUACUUUGGCACAGAUAUUCUGAAUUAAAAUCCAUAGAAAAACAAAAAUUAGAAGAAAAGAAAAAAUAAAAAAAUAAAAAGAAUUUCUGUAAUAAGAUCUGUGGAACUUCGAAUUAAGCAAUAUAGGUCUUAAUCGGAGCCUAAUAAUCUGGCCAUUCCGGGAUCCGUCACCCCACUCUUUUGGUAUCAGAGCUUGCCGUCCUGGUGAGCCUGAUUCCUUAAGUAAUAUCAAAGAUAGAUAAAAGAUUAGAAUAUUUAGAUUUAGAAAUAAAAAAUAAAUCUAGAAAAACCUAUAUUGCUUAAUUCGAAGUUCCACAGGUCUUAUUACAGAAAUUCUUUUUAUUUUUAUAUUUUUCCUUUUCUUCUAAUUUUUGUCUUUCUAUGGAUUUUAAUUCAGAAUAUUUGUGCUAAAGUAAAUCUACCUUUGCUUGUCUAAUAUUUCUGAGAAAGGAUGCGGGGAUGGUGGUGUGCUACUUUUACUAAUCUAGAUUCUUCUAUUUGUAUAUAUGCUAAACACUGAUCUAACGUUUCUAGAUUUUCUAAAAUUUUAUCAAAAUAAUAAUAUGUAUCUGAUUGCUUAAGAGUUGCUAAUGCUAUUCUAUAUGAAUUUUCUUGAGUAGUUGUGAACUGAAAAGGUAGUUCAAAAUUCAUACAGAGUUUAUAUGCAGAAAUUAUAAAGUAUAUGAGUUUUAAAAAUUAUAUGAGUACUCGGUACUUGAUAGAGGUUAAAGAAAUUAUAGCUUCCUUGCUUUUAUUCCAAAGUUUCCUUCUGAUGCUAUGAGAGUUGGAAUCCUGUUUUUGGAGGUUUGCCUCAUCAAAUCUUCCCCUUACGCCUUGCAGUAUUCUUAACCGUACAGCUAUGAUGGGUACUACACCAUCUUUUGGACUUUUAAAACUCCAAAAUAGGGUAUCUCUCUCAAAGUUUCCGGUUAUUUGGAUUAAAUCUAGGGUAUAGGCUGUACUAAUUUCUAUUCUAUGUUUCCCUUUCCUCUCAAUGAUAAGAUGACUAGAAAGAUUAAGCUUGCAAAAGUGUUUAGAACUGAAUAUAUGGAAUGCUUUGUAAUUUACAAGUUAUCAAAGCAUCGUGCCCAACAAUGGUUUGAGACUGGUGCUUUUAUAGGCUUGUUGUUCGGAUUUGAAAUCCGGACUUGUGUUUCCUAAUUAUUUUUACGGAUUUCAACUUGGUUGGAAUCCGGUGUCUAGUCUAUGAGGCUGACAGUGGUCUAAAUUUUUAAAAUGUUAUGUCAAAAAGCUAUAUGGCCGAUAAUGGCCAAAAUUUUCAAAAAACUAAAGGCUAUAUGGCCUACAAUGGCUAAAAAGCCUACAAUGGCCAAAAUUUUCAAAAAGCUAAAGGCUAUAUGGCUGACAAUGGCCAAAAUUUAUGAGACCGGUAUCUUUUCAGUGCUUUCAAUUGUAAGGUAUGUACAAUAAUGUGUCUAGGUCCUAUUAUCCUUCCAUCAUAUUCUCGAUGUUGUGGAGUUCUUCUGGUCCCAUUGUUUGCCAAUAAUGAUCGUUGUCUUCUUCUUCAAUUUCUCCUUCAAUUUCUUCCGAUUGAGCUCUUUCUUCCAUAUAAUCAUUUAAGUAAUGCUGGAAUAGUUCUGGAUAAGUUGUUUGAACUAUAAAGUCUUUUUCCAGAUUAUAUCAGUAGGGAGUGUAGAUCUUCUGAAUUUUGUUUUCUGCUGCCAGUCUGAAAUAUGACCAUCCGGAUUUAAAAUGUCUAUAGGCUAAGUGCAUAACCUUUGAAUUCCGGAGUUGUUCAUCUAGUGCUAAAGGACAUUCUGCUAUUAUUAUCCUUGCUGCUACUAGUGGAGUUGGAUAAACAUUGCUAACUUGAAUCUUUAUUCUAUGAAUUAUUGGUUCUAAAUCAAUGAGUCCAAUCCAUUCUGCUGGUGCUGACUUAAUUUUUACUUGAACCCAUUGUCCAUAAUUUAGCAUUUGUCUACAAAAAUAUGCUAAGCUUGUUCCUAAUUGAGAUGAGUCAUUCGGAUCAGAAAUUCAAAAUUCUUUUAAGAAUCCACAAUCCAUUAAGAACUGUGGUAUAAGAACUAUUCUUUCUUGAUUUACCAUAAGGGCUACUGGAGUAUAUCUGCGUAGUUUAAUGGAUGCUCUGAGUAUGAGAAAAUCAAUUGUAUGUACACAAUGGUUUCUGUAUUUUUGGUGGUCACAAGAUCCUGGAUUAUUUGAGCAUUUUUUAUGUGGGUUGAUCCAGUAAGAUGGACUUAUGUUAAGGCUGUAGUUGGUAUUGGGUUUUGUUGCUAUUUCUUUGAAGUAUUUUUGUAUUGUUUCUAAUUUUGUUAAGUGCUGGACUUGCACUUUUUGGCUGAUAAUUUCUAUGAUUGAUAAAGGGAAAGGUUCUAAUAAAGAGUAAGACCUAAAAAACAUUCUGGGUUUAAGAAACUCAAAGGGUCUAUUUGAGAUGGGUUGUUCUUUUAUAAAAAUCUCUUUUACUGGGUCGGAUGAAGAACUGGCCAUUUGUGAUACUGUAUGAGACAGUCUUUCUUGUAGCUCCCCUAUUUCAGAAAUUUGUGAAAUUAUUGUAUCACUUUGUGAUCCAGAUAUUUUACACAUUUGUUUGAGAUGCCCUGUCAGAGAAUGAGCUUUUUCUUUUAAAUUUUUAUUUUCUUCUUCUAGAUUUAAGAUUUAAGCUUCUAAUUGCUUCUUCCAUAGCCUUACAAUGUCUACAAAAUUGAAUGCUAUGAAUAUUAUCAUAUGCUACUGAAUCAGAAUAACUUCUACCAUUAUUGCUGCUACUAGGGGAUUCUGUACAAGAUUGCACUGGCACCAUCAUGCUAUCCAUACUAGCUUUGCUAUCUAUAAGAAAACUGAUGCCAAUAUUUUUUCUAACAAAAUCCAAGGUUUCAUGGAUGCUAUGAAAAGCUUUCGACAAAGGACUUUGAAAAUCUUUAAUUUGUUCUACUACUGAAAUCCAUUUGGAAUAAAUUCCAGGUAUUUUACCCUGAACUACUGCAUAAUGUGAAAAACUUUGUUUUGGUAGAUUACUGAAAUAAAAUGCUAAAAUAUUUAAAUUUUUAAUUCUAUCAGAAUUACUUCUGCUAUUUCAGAGGUUAUCUAAGAUAUCCUGCUGGAUUUCUUCUAAAUUACCUUCCUCGCAGUUGAAAAAAUGUAAAUUAGAUCCUUUAGGAUACUUGUUAAGUUCCCAUUGGCCAAUUUGUACUUUGGGUAGCUGCCGUGCCAUCUGCUAAAAGAUCAAAAGAAUUGUUAAAUAAACGGGAUAAAAAAUCUGCUGAGUUAUUAUCUUUACCCUUAAUAUAUUCGAACUUAACCUUAUAUCCAUUACCUAUAAUGCUGUCUACAAAAUUUAACCAUCUUCUAGUAGAACUUCUUUUUUCAUUGUGUUUAUCGAAAAACUUUUUUAUUGCCUCGCAGUCUGUUCUAAUAGUAAUUUCUGGUUUGUUAAGUAUAAAAAGUCUAAAGUUGUCUAAACUAUAUUUUACUGCUAACAAUUCAUUGUCUAUGCUGCUUCUGUUACCUUUUUCCUUAUAUUUGCCACUGGCAUAUCUACAAAUUUGUUCACUAUUUUUGCUACUAUAUUUAUUUGGUUUCGCAAAAAAAACUGCUCCCCAUCCUAUACUACUGCCAUCACAUUCAAUUAUUAAAUAAUCUGUAUCUAAAGGUAAUUUUAAAUCUGUUAGUUUACUUACUAUUUGUUUUAUUGCUUGGACCGAUUUUAUAUCUUCUUUAUUAAAAAAUUUUUGUCCUUUUAAAGAUGUUUUGUCGUAUAAUGGUGCAACUAAAUUAUUUAAAUUUUUUAUAAAAGGUCUGGCAUAGUUUAGUAGUCCUAAAAAUUAUUGUAAUUUCUUUGUUUCUUCUAUUUUAUCUGGAAAUUCUAAUAACUUUUUACAAAUAUGUGGUUGUAAUUUUAUUUUUCCUUGUCCUAUUUCUGUUCCUAAAAAUUCUAUAUUUUUCCUAAAAAAUUGUGCCUUUUUAUUACUAAUUAUUAUUGCAUGUCUAAUAAAUUCUGUGAAAACUAACUUUAGUGUCCAACAUGUUCUUCUUUAUUUUUUUGAAAAUACUAAUAUGUCAUCUAUGUAUACUAUGACGAAUUCUUUAUAUUUGUUAAAAAUAUUAUCUAUUUUUCUUUGAAAUAUUACCAGUGCAUUUUUUAGUCCGAAAGACAUUACUAACCAUUUAAAAUGUCCUAAAGGGCAUGUAAAAGCUAUCCAUUCUAUACUAUCUGUGUGCAUUUUUACUUGCCAAAAUCCUGAUUUACAAUCAAAUUUGCUAAAAAUAUAUCUAUACUGAAUUCUAUUUAUUAGCUCAUUUUUAUCUGAUAUGUCAUAACUAUCCUCUUUAGUAUUAUCAUUUAACCUUUUAUAAUUUAUUACCAUUCUACUUUUUCCUCUGACUAUUUCACUAUGUUUUCUAACUAUGAAUGCUGCACUUCUAUGCGGACUGGUACUUUUUCUGAUUAUUUUUAAUUUAUUUAAAUCUCCUAUAUGCAUUUCAAAUUCUUUUAUGUCUUCAUUACUAGUUUCUAUUUUUGCUGUACUAAUUUUUAAAUUUGGGUUUAAAAUUUCUAACUUACAUUCUGUUUUAUCUUUUUCCUAAUGAAUGGUUGGAUUUUCUCCAAAAAUUUCUAGUUUUUCUAACUUACUUUUUAAUUGGUCUAUAUCUGUGUGUCCUGUUUCUAACAUAUUAUAGAUUUUCUCAUUUUGUAAAAGGUCUAAACUUAUUUCUAUUUCAUUAAAAUCUUUUCCUAUGCUAUCUAUAGUUUCUAUAUUAUUAAAUUCUUCUAUUUUUUCUAUAGUUUCUAUGUGGUUACAUUUGCAAUCUUUUGCUCUUUUAUAUUUACAAUUAUGAUUUUCUAUAAUUUUAUUGUCUUUCCGUAAUCCUGGUGUAAUGAACGUGUUAUAAGGUAAAGUAUGGUCUCUUAAGAAUGUUAACUCUGUCCUUGUAAUAAUCAUGCCAUGAUAUAAUUGUAGUAUAAAGGCUAGUCCUAAAAUCAUUUGAUAAUGAAAAUUUCUAACAUAUAUUUCUUCUACUGGAUAAGGUGGUGUGCAGUGAUUAUUAUCUAUUUCAAAAAAUAAGAGACUAUUAUGAAUUGCAGUGUCAUAGGUAUAAGUACUACCAUCCAUUUGUCUUGCAGUUCUAAUAUUAUAUGAUUUUUCAUAAUAUUUUUCUGGUAUUAGUUCUUGUUGGAUAACUAUAUCACUUGCUCCUAUAUCUACUAUCGCUAAAACUUCUGUAUCAAAAUUUCCUAUUAUUAUUCUAGUUUUUAUUUCAAUGGAAGUUACUGUUGGUAUUCCUGCUUGUAAUAAUUCAGAAUCAUAAUUAUGUCUUAUUAAUUCUGGAAAAUUUUCUAUAUCAGCAUUUUCUAUAUAUACUUCCCUUUCUAUUGAUUUUCCUUUAUCAAAUUUUUCUAUUUUUUGCUCUAAUUGUUCUAUUUUAUUUUCUAAAAUUCUUAUUCAUCUUUCUAGGUAAUGUUUUAAGGGCACAGUAUUUUCAGUUUUAUCCUUUUUAACUGGCUCUAAUAAAACGUAUAUUUGUGCUAAUUUAUCUAGGCAAAAUUUACAUCCUUCUGUAUAACAUAAUUAACAUUGGAAUCUUAAUUCUAUUGCUGGGUAUCUAUUAAAAUUAUAACAAACUUUACUAUCAUUACCUUUUCUAUGUUCCCAUUUAUGGGUACAUUCUACUUCUACUAGAUCUAAAUCGUCUAAUUUUUUAAAAUCUUAUUUUAUUUCUUCUAGGUAUAUGUUAUCCAUAAUAGUUCUAUUUUCCGAUUUUUCUAAGAUUUCAUUUAUAAAUCCUGUAUGUUCUUGUUCUAUAAAAUUUGUUAAAUCUAUGUCCUCUGAUACUAUACUAUAAAUGCUUUCUGUUUCUAAUAUAUUGUCAUCUAUUUCUAUUAGAUCUUCUGAAAAUAAUUCUACUAAAUGAGUUUCUCUGUUACAAGAAUUAUGUUUAUUUGGACAAUUAGUUGCUAAAUGAUUAGGUUGUUUACAAAUAAAACAAGAUAAUCUAUUCCUAUAGGUACGUUCUGGUCUAUAUCUUCUAACAUGAUGUUCCUUUUUAAGAAAUGGUUUUCUAGCUUUGCUCUUCCUAAGAUAAUACUGUUUUCUGGGUACUUUUUAUAAUUUUUAUAAGGUUUUCUAUAUUUUCUUUUUUCUUUUUCUCUUUCUCCAUAUUUUUGUGGUGUAUAUUUUUCUGUACAAAAAUUAUAUUCUCCUUUUAAUUGUUUUUGUAUUUUAAUAAAUGUACAUUCCUCUACUAACCUAUUAAUUAUGAGUCUUACAGCUGUACUUACAUUUUUUAAUGUUGGUUCCAUAGGUGUUACUUUAUGUAAAGUAUAUAUUUUCUUUCCUAGAUCGUCUGGUAAUUUAGCAAAUAAUUUUUCUAUAAUUCCUGCAUCAUAAAAACAUCCUGCUAAACAGCUAUGAUAUAAGAAAUCUUGUAAAAAUGGUUUAAUAUGUUUCCAAUUUCUAAUAUAUAAUUGUUCUAUUUUUCUUAUUGAUUCUAUUUGUGUCAGAACUCCUCCUCUAUUUGGAUUUGUUGCUAAAAGAAUUUCUUCUACUCUAUUAACAAAAUUCAUGGGAUUUAAUCCAUGCGCCUGGUCUUGUUGUAAUCUAUCUAGAAAUUUUUGUUUAAAUGCUUCCCAAGCUGCUCUUGCUACUCCUCCUAGAAAUGUUUCUAAAUACGUAUACAUUUCUGUUACAUUAUGAUCAAACCCUUUUUGUAUAUAAUUCCUAACUACUCGUACUUUCCAGCUACCUAUUACAUCUUCUAUCAUUUGGGGGUCAUAGGAUGUGAACAUUAAAGUCUUUCCUUCAUCUACUGAAUUUUCUUUUAUUUCUAAUUCUAAUGGUCUUCUUUUUCCUCUAGGGUUAUAUUUUUCUUCUGGUUCUCUAUAUUCAUUAUAUAUUAUUCUAGGUGGUUGUCCUGGUUCAUAUGUUCUAACAUUCACUUCUUGGCUAGUGUCAGUUUGCAUAUUUGUUGGUUGGCUGCUUCGACUGCUUUGUUCCAUUAAUUCUCUAUAUGAUGUUAUACUAACUGUUUCAAUAUCAUCUUUUUCUUUUUUAACUCUAAUAUUUCCUAUAUAAUCAUAAUAUAAAAUUUCAUCUAAAGCUAUUUGUCCAUUUGAUUCUAAUUUUCUUUCUAAAUCAAAUAAUUCUAUUUAUGUUAAAAUCAUAUUUAAUUCUGCUGGAUAAAUAAUUUUAUGUUCUAGUUCUACAAGUUCUUCUUCUAUCAAAUUUAUUUCUACUAGAUCUAAUUCUGUAUCUGAUCUUUCUACUUUUUUAUUUUCUGUUCCUAAAGAUGUUGAUUCAUAAUUAUAGAACCUAAGACUUGUUUUUCCUUCACUAUUUUUAUAUAUUAUACUUUCUUUUGGUAUGAUUGGAUUAUUUUCUUCUAUAAAUUUACUAAUUUCCCAUUCUUCUCCUGCCAAAUUUUCUGAACUUACUUCUAUUGGUUUUAUUAAUUUUAUUCCCUUACUAGCCAUAGCCUCUACUAUUGGUUUGAUAUCUACCUUGUAUCUGGUUUUACUACUAUUUGUUAAUCUUCCUAUAAAUCCUAUGUUUAUUGUUAAAUUAUCUCCUUGAAAAUUUUCAUAUCCUUUAGUUUGUAUGCCUAUUUCUAAAUUUUUAAUAUAUUUCUAAAUUUUUAAUAUCUUCUAAGGUUACCAUAAAAUCUGGACUACAAUAAAAUAUUCCUCCAUUUUGGUUCUUAUCUACUUCUGUACUGGCUAUUAAUGCAUCUUCUACUGGCUAUAAAUCAGAAGAAGUACCAGUCCACAUAGAAGUGCAGCAUUCAUAGUUAGAAAACAUAGUGAAAUAGUCAGAAGAAAAAGUAGAAUGGUAAUAAAUUAUAAAAGGUUAAAUGAUAAUACUAAAGAGGAUAGUUAUGACAUACCAGAUAAAAAUGAGCUAAUAAAUAGAAUUCAGUAUAGAUAUACUUUUAGCAAAUUUGAUUGUAAAUCAGGAUUUUGACAAGUAAAAAUGCACACAGAUAGUAUAGAAUGGACAGCUUUUACAUGCCCUUUAGGACAUUUUGAAUGGUUAGUAAUGCCUUUCGGAUUAAAAAAUGCACCGACAAUAUUCCAAAGAAAAAUGGAUAAUAUUUUUAACAAAUAUAAAAAAUUUGUCAUAGUAUACAUCGAUGAUAUAUUAGUAUUUUCAAAAAAUAAAGAAGAACAUGUUGGACACCUAAAGUUAGUUUUCGCAGAAUUUAUUAGGCAUGGAAUAAUAAUUAGUAAUAAAAAGGCACAAUUUUUUAGGAAAAAUAUAAAAUUUUUAGGAACAGAAAUAGGACAAAGAAAAAUAAAAUUACAACCACAUAUUUAUAAAAAGGUAUUAGAAUUUUUAGAUAAAAUAGAAGAAACAAAGAAAUUACAACAAUUUUUAGGACUACUAAACUAUGCCAGAUCUUUUAUAAAAAAUUUAAAUAAUUUAGUAGCACCAUUAUACAACAAAACAUCUUUAAAAGGACAAAAAUUUUUUAAUAAAGAAGAUGUAAAAUUGGUCCAAGCAAUAAAACAAAUAGUAAGUAAACUAACAGAUUUAAAAUUAUCUUUAGAUACAGAUUAUUUAAUAAUUGAAUGUGAUGGCAGUAGUAUAGGACUGGGAGCAGUUCUUUUUACGAAACCAAAUAAAUAUAGUAGCAAAAAUAGUGAACAAAUUUGUAGAUAUGCCAGUGGCAAAUAUAAGGAAAAAGGUAAUAGAAACAGCAUAGACAAUGAAUUGUUAGCAAUAAAAUAUAGUUUAGACAACUUUAGACUUUUUAUACUUAACAAACCAGAAAUUACUAUUAGAACAGACUGCGAGGCAAUAAAAAAGUUUUUUGAUAAACACAAUAAAAAAAGAAGUUCUACUAGAAGAUGGUUAAAUUUUGUUGACAACAUUAUAGGUAAUGGAUAUAAGGUUAAGUUCGAACAUAUUAAGGGUAAAGAUAAUAACUUAGCAGAUUUUUUAUCCCGUCUAUUUAACAAUUCUUUUGAUCUUUUAGCAGAUGACACGGCAGCUACCCAAAGUACAAAUUGGCCAAUGGGAACUUAUCAAGUAUCCUAAAGGAUCCAAUUUACAUUUUUUCAGCUGUGAGAAAGGUAAUUUAGAAGAAAUCCAGCAGGAUAUCUUAGAUAGCCUCUGGAAUAGUAGAAGUAAUUCUGAUAGAAUUAAAAAUUUAAAUAGUUUAGCAUUUUAUUUGAGUAAUCUACCAAAACAAAGUUUUUCAUAUUAUGCAGUAGUUCGGGGUAAAACACCUGGAAUUUACUCCAAAUGGAUUUCAAUAUUAGAACAAAUUAAAGAUUUUCAAAAUCCUUUGUGGAAAGCUUUUCAUAGCAUCCAUGAAGCCUUGGAUUUUGCUAGAAAAAAUAUUGGCAUUAGUUUUCAUGUAGAUAGCAAAGCUAGUAUGGAUAGCAUGAGGGUGCCAGUGCAAUCUUGUACAGAAGCCCCUAGUAGUAGCAAUAGUGGUAGAAGUUAUUCUGAUUCAGUAGCAUAUGAUAAUACUCAUAGCAUUCAAUUUUGUAGACAUUGUAAGGUUAUGGAAGAAGCAAUUAGAAGUUUAAAUCCUAAAUCUAGAAAUCUAGAAGAAGAAAAUAAAUUUUUUUUUUAAAAACUCAUUCUCUGACAGGGCAGCUCAAAGAAAUGUGUAAAAUAUCUGGAUCACAAAGUGAUACAAAAUUUCACAAAUUUCUGAAAUAGGGGAGUUACAAGGAAGACUGUCUCAUACAGUAUCACAAAUGGCCAGUUCUUCAUGUGACGCCCCCACUUCUCCCUAAGGCGAACCAAAGGGUAUCUGCGGGACGCCUGCCCAACUCUCACCAGGACUCACGCAAAAACAUUCAAGCUUAUAACUAAUCUAAUAGUCACAAGUACAAAAACAUAAAUACAGUGAUGCGGAAGCGUUCAAGUAAACAUGGUCAUCUAUUAUCCAACCCGUACAUCGGGUGUUCAAAAUACAACUUUAAACCCAAAUUCAUCUCAUACCCAAGUACUACAUUCCAAAUACAAAAGUACAACCCAAAGCCAAGAGGCGUAGCCAUAAUGAUGAUAGAAACCCUAAACAAAAGUACAUCAGGAGGGUUUCUCCAAUUCGUCUCCGGGUCCAGUC
RNAcentral lists this long non-coding RNA (54870 nucleotides) under Coffea arabica (coffee). RNAcentral's name for it is "long non-coding RNA (CARA_LNC007723)". The record is from RNAcentral. Lineage: Eukaryota; Viridiplantae; Streptophyta; Magnoliopsida; Gentianales; Rubiaceae.